RNAcentral lists this long non-coding RNA (47539 nucleotides) under Triticum aestivum (bread wheat). Its description in RNAcentral is "long non-coding RNA (TAES_LNC009528)". Lineage: Eukaryota; Viridiplantae; Streptophyta; Magnoliopsida; Poales; Poaceae. The record is from RNAcentral.
AAAGGUACAAAGUAAUUUUUUUAGUAUAUAUCAUCACACAAUCAUAGUACAACCAGCACACACAAGCCAUCAUCCUCCGUACAAGCCAGAAAAGUAAAUAAGAACAAUCACAAGAUUUACAUGGGCAUCAUGCCCUAAUCUUGAUUGAUCUUGACAUUAUAUAGCAUGGGAUGACUUAAUGGUGGUGGGUUACAACACACCACUUAUUUAAUCCAACCGGCAAUAUAAGUAAUGACGAUACUAUGUCUGGCAUGGUUGAUGUACCCGAACAUCUCAUGCCAACAAUUACUCUUGGACGUUUGCUUCACCAUUUCCUUUUUCUGCUUGAGUCCCAAGUGGUGGUUUUGGUUGUGCAUUCGGGUCAGGCAGUGGUUGUGGAUUCGGGUCUGGUAAUGGUUGUGGGUUUGGAUCAGGUUGCGGUCCUGGUAAUGGCUGAGGGUUUGGGUUUGGCUGUGGGUCCGGCAAUGGCUUCGGGUUUGGGUCUGGUAAUGGUUGCGGGUUUGGAUGAGGUUGUGGUCCUGGUAAUGGCUGAGGGUUUGGGUUUGGCUGUGGGUUCGGCAAUGGUAUCGGGUUUGGGUCUGGUAAUGGUUCUGGGUUUGGAUCAGGCUGUGGUCCUGGUAAUGGCUGAGGGUUUGGGUUUGGUUGUGGGUCCGGCAAUGGUUUUGGGUUUGGGUCUGGUAAUGGUUGUGGAUUUCGAUCAGGCUGCGGUCUUGGUAAUGGUUGAGGGUUUGGUUUUGCUCGUGGGUCUGGUAGUGGCCGCGGCUUUGUGUUUGGCUGUGGGUUCAUCAACUGUUGCAGGUUUUGUCCUGGCAAUAGUUGUGGAUUUGGGUCAGGNNNNNNNNNNGUUGUGGGUUUGGAUCAGGUUGCGGCCCUGGUAGUGGCUUAGGGUUUGGGUUUGGCUGUGGGUCCGGCAAUGGUUUUGGGUUUGGGUCUGGUAAUGGUUGUGGAUUUCGAUCAGGCUGCGGUCUUGGUAAUGGUUGAGGGUUUGGUUUUGCUCGUGGGUCUGGUAGUGGCCGCGGCUUUGUGUUUGGCUGUGGGUUCAUCAACUGUUGCAGGUUUUGUCCUGGCAAUAGUUGUGGAUUUGGGUCAGGGUGUGGUCCUGGUAAUGGUUGAGCGUUUGGAUCAGGUUGUGGAUCUAGCAGUGGUUGUGGGUUUGUAUGAGGUUUAGGCUCGGGUAGCGGUUGCGGCUUUGGGUCUGGUUGUGGUCCCGGCAAUGGUUGAGGGUUUGGAUCUGGCUGUUUUCCUGGUAGUGGUUCUGGAUUUGGGUUCGCCCGUGGGCCGUACUGAGGGUCUCUAGUGAUCAGGUUGUGCCUCCCGGCAGCAAGAGCAAACACUGGAAGAAGCAUAAGCAGCAACGGUGCUACGAGAAGAGAAGACGCGGAUGGGCGCUUCCUCAUCGUCAUGGCUAAGCUUGUGUUGGUACGAACUUGCAAGUGCGUGCGUCUCGAUCUUCCUAUUUAUAAGCGAAUUCAGCCAUCAAGGCUGGACAAGCAUGUACGUUGUUUACUCCAACUCUGAUUGGGCUUGUUAGCUUUGCCUUUUUGAAGAUGCGGGACUGCACGCCUCCGCUUAGUGCUCUAACCAGCAGCUAGCCACAAUAAAAAGUCAUUUAGAAAAGUUUUGAGUUAUCAUCAUAAAGAAAAAGUUUGUGUAGUUUUCGUCUGGAUAGAUGUGACAUUUUUCAGUUGAUCGUAGGAGAGCAACAUGCAGAAGCAUACAGUUGCCCAAGUUGUGAACAACCUGAUCACUUUCAGUAAUUCUGUUGAAUUCAUAGCAGGGUAGCAGAUGGCUGUGAGCAUGGAAUUUGUAAAUCAUGUAAUUUUUUUUAAAAUAAGAAAAAUCAUGUAAACACGUAUACAUGUUAUUUGCGUGUCCAAGAAGUUUAAUUAAGCCAUACACAGAUUUGUAGGCUACAUAAAAAAAAUCCAGCCCAAAUGCAAUAGAAAUAAGCCUAUUUUAAAUUAUGUAUUUGUCGUUUUCCCCUUUGUGUAGACUAUAUAUGAUUUUUUUUCAAAUAUAUUUUGUUGAAAUUUUGUAUGAACACACUAUACCUUUUUUAUUGAAAAUUUUGAGGUGCAAGAAUAAAGUUCUUGAUAAAAAAUAAAGAAGCCUGUACGAUGUAUUGUUGUACACAGGAAUAUCGUGGAUUCUAAACUUGAGGUUUGCAUGGAUGGAUUUUUUUUACGGAAUCUAGUUUAAAUGAGUCCUAUUGUUUCCCGUAUGAAUUCCUAUUCUAUGACUCAAACAACACAUACAGAAAAAUUUUCUAAGGAUUAGAUUCCUCCAAAAUUCUAUUAAAAGUUUAAAACCCCUUUGAAUCAAAGAAGCCUAUUCCCCCCAAAAUAAAGAAAAGAAUCAAAUGAGCUCGGGUGAACAGUAAAAUCAAAACUAAAUCAAUUUUUUUUUAAAAAAAUCCAAUUUUUUUUGGGAGAAAAAGUUCUAAGUGCUUGCAAAAAUUCGCCAUGAAAUCACAUUUCUAGAAGGCGUGGCAAAAAAAAAAAACAAAAUCAGUACUCUGAAAAAGCUACUUUCAAAAGCAUUUUGGAGCACUGAAUUUGUUUUUUUUGCCACGCUUUACAGGAAUGUGAUUUCAUGAUGAAUUUUUGCAAGCACUUAAAACUUUUGUUAAUGUUUCUCCCAAAAAAAAUUGGGAAUUUUUUGAAUUUUUUUUGAAUUUUUUUCGAUUUUACUGUUCACCAAGCUCAAAUGAGCUCGGGAGCAGAAAGGCACUUUCGAUCAAAGAAGCCUAUUUCGCAGCAAAGCUAGUGGCUGUCCUAUCGGACAGUGAUGCACCUUUAAGUACGCGGUUUCUAAUAAUCACGAUCAGUGCACGCCGUGCACAGUGCACUCAUUUCGGUUGUAGAUGUAACUUUCACAUUUCAUACACCAAUCACGAUCAGUUGCUUGUUGGCACGGGCGGAGCUCCGUAGGGGCAGACCUGGGCCAUGGCCCGCCCAGGAAUUUGACAAAAAAAGUUUUUACUACUAGUCGUCUUAGCCCAGCCCACUAGCCCACGCACGCACUGAAUAUCCCCCCAUCGGCCAUCGUCUCCUCGUCUCGCGCACGCUGCACGCACAGGCACACUCACGCCUUCCCCAAUUCCCCAUCCUCUCAGUCCCAGACUCAUGUAGGUUGUAGCCACGCCGCCGACGACUACCGACGUGGACAGGGAACACGUCCACACGGUCCACCGGAGCGCGCCGCCCGCCAUCUCUCGGAGCAACCGCCAUGGCAACGCCCGCCGGGAUCUCGCCUCGCCCCUGCCCUGCUCCCUCCUGCCGCCCAUCAUCCGCACACUUACANNNNNNNNNNNNNNNNNNNNNNNNNNNNNNNNNNNNNNNNNNNNNNNNNNNNNNNNNNNNNNNNNNNNNNNNNNNNNNNNNNNNNNNNNNNNNNNNNNNNNNNNNNNNNNNNNNNNNNNNNNNNNNNNNNNNNGCAAUAACCUGAUUUUGUUCAUUUCCAUACACCCAGUGAUCAGUCCUGCUAGUGAUAAAUAAUAGUCUGAUGAUCUGAUCUUACGCAAAUUUUAACAUAGGUAGUCGGGAAAGGAAAAUAAGACUCAGAGAAGAAGAAGAUCACUGCACAAUAAGAUGGAAGAUGAGAAUCUGGCUAAUAACUUGUUAGUUCACAUAGAUGGUGGAAUUCUAGAAAACUACAGCCACGAAGAUGUCAUUGCAGAUUUUAUAAACAAGAAGAUCGGAGAGUUGAUUGUAUGUGAGUAGGUCCAUGUCUAAUGUCUCUGACACUUUUGUAUUAUCUAACUCAAUAGUGAAACAUGGUUGAACUGUACUUUGGUACAUAUAUAUAUUAUAUAUAUACAUAUCUGCUAGCUCAAUCUUGUGACCUGGGUGCUUGUAAUAUGUCCUUAUGGGUAAGAAUUUAGAAAAAAUUGUGUUCUUCUUCAGUCUGGCCCGCCCAACUUUUUCGUUCAAGCUCCGCCACUGCUUGUUGGUGCACAUCCAAUGCUCUAGAAUAAAACAAAAAGUACUCCUAUAUACAAAACGUACUUUACCUAACCUACCGAUUGAAUCGUAUACAUAGAUGAAAAAGAAAAGACAUCCGUAGAGUCCCAAGUUACCUACCGAUUGAAUCGUAUGUAUAGAUGAAAAAGAAAAGACAUCCAUAGAGUACCAAGUUACCUACCGAUUGAAUCAUACAUAUAGACGAAAAAGAAAAGACAUGCAUAGAGUACCAAGUUAAAGACGAUAUGACCUCACAACUAGAUUGGGUUGGGUGAGUGGAGUGCCACUUUAAUCCUUGUCUGGAGCACGCGCUAUGAUAUUUCUUCAGAGGCGCUGAAGUGGGGAACAAGACUGAUAGAACAAACAACAAGUGAGAUAUUUUGAGCUUCACUAGGUUGGAGGCCUGGUGUGCUCAGAAUUUAUCAGGGUGUAUUCAGGUUGCAGCACUGCUGCCAAGGCAUUUCUCCAGCUUCGCUCUGAAGAUCUUUUGCUUUGCUUUGUUCCUCUGUUUGUUUGUAAUGAAGUUCCCGUGUUUUGUGAUGGUUGCAAGUUCCCUGUAGUCUUUAUAUAUUUGGCUCAAGGGUGCCUGAAAAUUUCAUAGUUAUGUUUAAAAAAAUGCCGUAGUUGUUAGUUUUUGGACCAUCUAUCUAAAUCUAUCAAAGACCCUGUUGCCCGAGCUAGCCAAUCAAAGUUGGGCCAUUUGCAUCAAGCUAGGUAGGAUGCGUCGCCGGAAAACCCAAAUCGCUAAUUAAGGAGUACUCUUUGCAAAGGUCACUCCUACCAUGUCGCAACUAGUGAGUUUUCCUUUUUUUGUCGAUUCGUUUAUUCAACACGUUUUAUCGGUUAAAACAUGCAUUCACAUCUUGAAUCGUUUUCUCCAUUGUAUUCCUCGCACUGAGAUCUUGAAAAUUAGAUCCGAUCUGAUAGGUUUUGAUGAACGUUUUACUUUACGAAAAAUACCGAACAAAAAACAAACCGGGAGCACAUUUUUUCCUUUCUGAAAAGGGCACAAUCGUGCCUCUCGUGUCGUUACAAAUCUUAUCUCUGUUCGUCGUUACAAAUCCUAUGAAUUGCUAUUCUAUCUUCACAACAUCCUAUACUCCCCUUGUGUCGUUACAAAUCUUAUCUCUGUUCGUCGUUUUUGCAUUGACAAUUCAGUAACAAUUGAGUUUUACCCCCUUGACUUUGUUGUGAAGGAUCUAGCCACUCGGACUCCUUAUGAGCCGCAGUAGCUACGGCCAGCUUUACUCCUUCUCCGGCGGCACCACCAACCACCAGGCGGUGCUCUCUAUGGACGUUGGAAACUUGUGGCAUCAGCGAUUAGGGCACCCCAGUGCUGCCUCCCUUUCCCGUUUGGCGAGCAGUUUUUAACCAAAUUGUAAUAAGCCAGUCCACCCCAUGGUACUUGUCAUGCAUGUCAAUUAGGCCACCAUGCUCUCCUUCCUUUUUCCAGAUUCUCUGUCAUUUACUACUUUUCCUUUUCAACUAGUGCACUAUGAUAUAUGAACCUCAACAAUUGCGAGUUUUUCCGGCUUCAAAUAUUAUUUGUUUGUCAUAGACGACUUCACUCACUUCCCUUGGAGCUUCCCGCUACACCAUAAGCCCCAUGCCGCUGCCACCCUUGAACGCUUUUACCAGUACGUGCUCAUACAAUUCCGUGUUUACAUACAGUGUGUCCAAUGUGAUAAUGGGGGCGACUUCCUCAACGUUCACCUAUGCACUUUCUGUUGGGGAACGUUGCAGAAAACAAAAAUUUUCCUACGGUUUCACCAAGAUCCAUCUAGGACUUCAUCUAGCAACGAGUAAUCGGAUUGCAUCUACGUACCUUGUAGAUCGCGAGUGGAAGCGUUCAAAGAACGGGGAUGAGGGAGUCGUACUCGACGUGAUCCAAAUCACCGGAGAUCCUAGCGCCGAACGGACGACACCUCCGCGUUCAACACACGUACGGUCAGCGUAACGUCUCCUUCCUCUUGAUCCAGCAAGGGGCAAGGAGAGGUUGAGGAAGAUGGCUCCAGCAGCAGCACGACGGCGUGGUGGUGAUGGAGCUGCAGUACUCCGGCAGGGCUUCGCCAAGCUCUAUGGAGGAGGAGGAUGUGUUGGAGAGGGAGAGGGAGGCACCAAAGGCAAAGGUAAGAGGUCCUCCAUCCUCCCCACUAUAUAUAGGGGGGCCUAGGGGGGGACGCCGGCCCUAGGAGAUGCAAUCUCCUAGGGGGGCGGCGGCCAAGGGGUGGGGGACUUGCCCCCCAAGCAAGGGGGCGUCCCCCCCCUUUAGGGUUUCCCCCACCCUAGGCGCAUGGGCCCUAGGGGAAGUGGCGCCCCAGCCCACUUUGGGCUGGAUCCCUUCCCACUUCAGCCCAUGGGGCCCUCCGGGAUAGGUGGCCCCACCCGGUGGACCCCCGGGACCCUUCCGGUGGUCCCGGUACAAUACCGGUGACCCCGAAACUUGUCCCGAUAGCCGAAAUAGCACUUCCUAUAUAUAAUUAUUUACCUCCGGACCAUUCCGGAACUCCUCGUGAUGUCCGGGAUCUCAUCCGGGACCCCGAACAACAUCCGGGUUACUGCAUAUACAUAUCCCUAUAACCCUAGCGUCACCGAACCUUAAGUGUGUAGACCCUACGGGUUCGGGAGACAUGUAGACAUGACCGAGAUCGCUCUCCGGUCAAUAAACAAUAGCGGGAUCUGGAUACCCAUGUUGGCUCCCACAUGCUCCUCGAUGAUCUCAUCGGAUGAACCACGAUGUCGAGGAUUCAAGCAACCCCGUAUACAAUUCCCUUCGUCAGUCGGUAUGUUACUUGCCCGAGAUUCGGUCGUCGGUAUCCCAAUACCUCGUUCAAUCUCGUUACCGGCAAGUCACUUUACUCUUACCGUAAUGCAUGAUCCCGUGACCAGACACUUGGUCACUUUGAGCUCAUUAUGAUGAUGCAUUACCGAGUGGGCCCAGUGAUACCUCUUCGUCAUACGGAGUGACAAAUUCCAGUCUUGAUCCGUGUCAACCCAACAGACACUUUCGGAGAUACCCGUAGUAUACCUUUAUAGUCACCCAGUUACUUGUGACGUUUGGUACACCCAAAGCACUCCUACGGUAUCCGGGAGUUACACGAUCUCAUGGUCUAAGGAAAAGAUACUUGACAUUGGAAAACUCUAGCAAAUGAACUAUACGAUCUUGUGCUAUGUUUAGGAUUGGGUCUUGUCCAUCACAUCAUUCUCCUAAUGAUAUGAUCUCGUUAUCAAUGACAUUCAAUGUCCAUAGUCAGGAAACCAUGACUAUCUUUGAUCAACGAGCUAGUCAACUAGAGGCUUACUAGGGACAUGUUGGUGUCUAAGUAUUCACACAUGUAUUACAAUUUCCGGAUAACACAAUUAUAGCAUGAAUAAAAGACAAUUAUCAUGAACAAGGAAAUAUAAUAAUAAUGCUUUUAUUAUUGCCUCUAGGGCAUAUUUCCAACAGUCUCCCACUUGCACUAGAGUCAAUAAUCUAGUUACAUUGUGAUGAAUCGAACACCCAUGGAAUUCUGGUGUUGAUCAUGUUUUGCUCUAGGGAGAGGUUUAGUCAACGGAUCUGCUACAUUCAGGUCCAUAUGUACUUUACAAAUAUCUAUGUCUCCAUCUUGAACAUUUUCACGAAUGGAGUUGAAGCGACGCUUGAUGUGCCUCGUCUUCUUGUGAAAUCUGGGCUCCUUGGCAAGUGCAAUAGCUCCAUGUUGUCACAGAAGAGCUUCAUAGGCCCCGAUGCAUUGGGUAUGACUCCUAGGUCGGUGAUGAACUCCUUCACCCAAAUUGCUUCAUGCGCUGCCUCCGAGGCUGCCAUGUACUCCGCUUCACAUGUAGAUCCCGCCACGACGCUCUUCUUGCAACUGCACCAGCUUACUGCCCUACCAUUCAAAAUAUACACGUAUCCGGUUUGUGACUUAGAGUCAUCCAGAUCUGUGUCGAAGCUAGCAUCGACGUAACCAUUUACGACGAGCUCUUCGUCACCUCCAUAGACGAGAAACAUUUCCUUAGUCCUUUUCAGGUACUUCAGGAUAUUCUUGACCGCUGUCCAGUGUUCCUUGCCGGGAUUACUUUGGUACCUACCUACCAAACUUACGGCUAGGUUUACAUCAGGUCUGGUACACAGCAUGGCAUACAUAAUAGAACCUAUGGCUGAGGCAUAGGGGAUGAUACUCAUCUCUUCUAUAUCUUCUGCCGUGGUCGGACAUUGAGCUGAGCUCAAUUUCAUACCUUGCAACACAGGCAAGAACCCCUUCUUAGACUGAUCCAUAUUGAAUUUCUUCAAUAUCUUAUCAAGGUAUGUGCUUUGUGAAAGACCUAUGAGGCGUCUUGAUCUAUCUCUGUAGAUCUUGAUGCCUAAUAUAUAAGCAGCUUCUCCAAGGUCCUUCAUUGAAAAACUCUUAUUCAAGUAGGCCUUAAUGCUGUCCAAAAGUUCUAUAUCAUUUCCCAUCAAAAGUAUGUCAUCUACAUAUAAUAUGAGAAAUGCUACAGAGCUCCCACUCACUUUCUUGUAAACACAGGCUUCUCCAUAAGUCUGCGUAAACCCAAACGCUUUGAUCAUCUCAUCAAAGCGAAUGUUCCAACUCCGAGAUGCUUGCACCAGCCCAUAAAUCGAGCGUUGGAGCUUGCACACCUUGUCAGCAUACUUAGGAUCGACAAAACCUUACGGCUGCAUCAUAUACCAUUCUUCCUUAAGGAAACCAUUAGGAAUGCCGUUUUGACGUCCAUUUGCCAUAUUUCAUAAUCAUAGAAUGCGGCAAUUGCUAACAUGAUUCGGACGGACUUCAGCUUCGCUACCGGUGAGAAAGUCUCAUCGUAGUCAACCCCUUGAACUUGUCGAUAACCCUUAGCGACAAGCCGAGCUUUAUAGAUGGUCACACUACCAUCCGCGUCUGUCUUCUUCUUAAAGAUCCAUUUAUUUUCUAUGGCUUGCCGCUCUACGGCCAAGUCAGUCAAAGUCCAUACUUCGUUUUCAUACAUGGAUCCUAUCUCGGAUUUCAUGGCUUCCAGCCAUUUGUCAGAAUCCGGGCCCGCCAUCGCUUCUUCAUAGUUUGAAGGUUCACCGUUGUCUAACAACAUGAUUUCCAAGACAGGGUUGCCGUACCAAUCUGGUGCGGAACGUGUCCUUGUGGACCUUCGAAUUUCAGUAGGAGCUUGAUCAGAAGUAUCUUGAUCAUCAUCAUUAACUUCCUCUCUAGUCGGUGCAGGCACCUCAGGAACAUUUUCUUGAGUUGCGCCAUUUUCCGGUUCAAGAGGUAAUACUUCAUCAAGUUCUACUUUCCUCCCAUUUACUUCUUUCGAGAGAAACUCCUUCUCUAGAAAGGAUCCAUUCUUGGCAACAAAGAUCUUGCCUUCGGAUCUGAGGUAGAAGGUAUACCCAAUAGUUUCUUUAGGGUAUCCUAUGAAGACGCAUUUUUCCGACUUGGGUUCGAGCUUUUCAGGUUGAAGUUUCUUGACAUAAGCAUCGCAUACCCAAACUUUUAGAAACGAUAGCUUAGCUUUCUUCCCAAACCAUAAUUCAUACGGUGUCGUCUCAACGGAUUUCGACGGAGCCCUAUUUAAAGUGAAUGCGGGAGUCUCUAAAGCAUAGCCCCAAAAAGAUAGCGGUAAAUCGGUAAGAGACAUCAUAGAUCACACCAUAUCUAAUAGAGUGCGAUUACGACGUUCGGACACACCAUUACGCUGAGGUGUUCCAAGCGGCGUGAGUUGUGAAACUAUUCCAUAUUUUCUUAAGUGUGUGCCAAACUCGUGACUCAAGUAUUCUCCUUCACGAUCUGAUCGCAGGAACUUGAUUUUCCUGUCACGUUGAUUCUCAACCUCACUCUGAAAUUCCUUGAACUUUUCAAAGGUCUCAGACUUGUGUUUCAUUAAGUAGACAUACCCAUAUAUACUCAAGUCAUCAGUGAGGGUGAGAACAUAACGCCACCGUGAGCCUCAACAGUCAUUGGACCGCACACAUCAGUAUGUAUGAUUUCCAAUAAGUUGGUUUCUCGCUCCAUUGUUCCUGAGAACGGAGUCUUGGUCAUUUUACCCAUGAGGCAUGAUUCGCACAUGUCAAAUGAUUCGUAAUCAAGAGACUCUAAAAGUCCAUCAGCAUGGAGCUUCUUCAUGCGUUUGACACCUAUGUGACCAAGGCGGCAGUGCCACAAGUAUGUGGGACUAUCAUUAUCAAUCUUACAUCUUUUGGUACUCACACUAUGAACAUGUGUAGCAUUACGCUCGAGAUUCAUUAAGAAUAAACCAUUCACCAUCGGAGCAUGACCAUAAAACAUAUCUCUCAUAUAAAUAGAACAACCAUUAUUCUCGGAUUUAAAUGAGUAGCCAUCUCGAAUUAAACGAGAUCCUGAUACAAUGUUCAUGCUCAAAGCUAGCACUAAAUAACAAUUAUUAAGGUUUAAAACUAAUCCCGAAGGUAAAUGUAGAGGUAGCGUGCCGACGGCGAUCACAUUGACCUUGGAACCAUUCCCGACGCGCAUCGUCACCUCGUCCUUCGCCAGUCUCCGCUUAUUCCGCAGCUCCUGUUUUGAGUUACAAAUGUGAGCAACCGCACCGGUAUCAAAUACCCAGGAGCUACUACGAGUACUGGUAAGGUACACAUCAAUUACAUGUAUAUCACAUAUACCUUUCGUGAUGCCGGCCUUCUUGUCCGCUAAGUAUUUGGGGCAGUUUCGCUUCCAGUGACCACUUCCCUUGCAAUAAAAGCACUUAGUCUCGGGCUUGGGUCCAUUCUUUGGCUUCUUCCCGGCAGCUUGCUUGCCGGGCGCGGCAACUCCCUUGUCGUCCUUCUUGAAGGCUUUCUUACCCUUGCCCUUCUUGAACUUAGUGGUUUUAUUCACCAUCAACACUUGAUGUUCCUUUUUGACUUCUACCUCAGCUGAUUUCAGCAUUGCAAAUACGUCAGGAAUGGUCUUUUCCAUCCCCUGCAUAUUGAAGUUUAUCACAAAGCUCUUGUAGCUCGGUGGAAGCGACUGAAGGAUUCUGUCAAUGACCGUGUCAUCCGGGAGAUUAACUCCCAGCUGAGUCAAGCGGUUAUGCAACCCAGACAUAAUGAGUAUGUGCUCACUGACAGAACUGUUUUCCUCCAUCUUACAGCUGAAGAACUUGUCGGAGACUUGAUAUCUCUCGACCCGGGCAUGAGCUUGGAAAACCAUUUUCAGCUCUUCGAACAUCUCAUAUGCUCCGUGUCUCUCAAAACGCUUUUGGAGCCCCGGCUCUAAGCUGUAAAGCAUGCCGGACUGAACGAGGGAGUAGUCAUCGGUACGUGCCUGCCAAGCGUUCAUAACGUCUUGUUCUGCAGGGAGAACAGGUGUGUCACCUGGCGGUGCUUGUAGGACAUAAUCUUUCUUGGCAGCUAUGAGGAUGAUCCUCAGGUUUCGGACCCAGUCCGUGUAGUUGCUGCCAUCGUCUUUCAGCUUGGUUUUCUCUAGGAACGCGUUGAAGUUGAGGACUACGUUGGCCAUUUGAUCUACAAGACAUAUUGUAAAUUUUUUAGACUAAGUUCAUGAUAAUUAAGUUCAUCUAAUCAAAUUAUUCAAUGAACUCCCACUUAGAUAGACAUCCCUCCAGUAAUCUAAGUAUAACAUGAUCCGAGUUAACUAGGACGUGUCCGAUCAUCACGUAAGACGGACUAGUCAACAUCGGUGAACAUCUUCAUGUUGAUCGUAUCUUCUAUAUGACUCAUGCUCGACCUUUCGGUCUUCUGUGUUCCGAGGCCAUGUCUGUACAUGCUAGGCUCGUCAAGUCAACCUAAGUGUUUGCAUGUGUAAAUCUGUCUUACACCCGUUGUAUGUGAACGUUGGAAUGAAUCUAACACCCGAUCAUCACGUGGUGCUUCGAAACAACGAACUGUCGCAAUGGUGCACAGUUAGGAGAAACACUUUCUUGAAAUUAUUAUGAGGGAUCAUCUUAUUUACUAUCGUUGUUCUAAGUAAACAAGAUGCAGAAACAUGAUAAACAUCACAUGCAAUCAAAUAGUGACAUGAUAUGGCCAAUAUCACAUAGCUCCUUUGAUCUCCAUCUUGGGGCUCCAUGAUCAUCUUGUCACCAGCAUGACACCAUGAUCUCCAUCAUCAUGAUCUCCAUCACAGUGUCUCCAUGAAGUUGCUCGCCAACUAUUACUUCUACUACUAUGGCUAACACGUUUAGCAAUAAAGUAAAGUAAUUUACAUGGCGUUUCUCAAUGAAACGCAGGUCAUACAAAAAAUAAAGACAACUCCUAUGGCUCCUGCCGGUUGUCAUACUCAUCGACAUGCAAGUCGUGAUUCCUAUUACAAUAGCAUGAGCAUCUCAUACAUCACAUGUAUAUCAUUCAUCAUUCAUCACAACUUUGGCCAUAUCACAUCACAGAACACUUGCUGCAAAAACAAGUUAGACGUCCUCUAAUUGUUGUUGCAAGUUUUACGUGGCUGCAAUAGGGUUCUAGCAAGAACGUUUUCUUACCUACGUGAAAGCCACAACAUGAUUUGUCAACUUCUAUUUACCCUUCAUAAGGACCCUUUUCAUCGAAUCCGCUCCAACUAAAGUGGGAGAGACAGACACCCGCCAGCCACCUUAUGCAACUUGUGCAUGUUAGUCGGUGGAACCGGUCUCACGUAAGCGUACGUGUAAGGUUGGUCCGGGCCGCUUCAUCCCACAAUACCGUUGAAGCAAGAUAAGACUAGUAGCGGCAAGAAAGUUGACAACAUCUACGCCCACAACAAAUUGUGUUCUACUCGUGCAAAGAGAACUACGCAUAGACCUAGCUCAUGAUGCCACUGUUGGGGAACGUUGCAGAAAACAAAAUUUUUCCUACGGUUUCACCAAGAUCCAUCUAGGAGUUCAUCUAGCAACGAGUGAUCGGAUUGCAUCUACGUACAUUGUAGAUCGCGAGCGGAAGCGUUCAAAGAACGGGGAUGAGGGAGUCGUACUCGACGUGAUCCAAAUCACCGGAGAUCCUAGCGCCGAACGGACGGCACCUCCGCGUUCAACAGACGUACGGUCAGCGUAACGUCUCCUUCCUCUUGAUCCAGCAAGGGGCAAGGAGAGGUUGAGGAAGAUGGCUCCAGCAGCAGCACGAUGGCGUGGUGGUGAUGGAGCUGCAGUACUCCGGCAGGGCUUCGCCAAGCUCUAUGGAGGAGGAUGUGUUGGAGAGGGAGAGGGAGGCACCAAAGGCAAAGGUAAGAGGUCCUCCAUCCUCCCCACUAUAUAUAGGGGGGCCUGGGGGGGGGGGCGCCGGCCCUAGGAGAUGCAAUCUCCUAGGGGGGCGGCGGCCAAGGGGUGGGGGACUUGCCCCCAAGCAAGGGGGCGCCCCCCCCUUUAGGGUUUCCCCCACCCUAGGCGCAUGGGCCCUAAGGGAAGUGGCGCCCCAGCCCACUUUGGGCUGGAUCCCUUCCCACUUCAGCCCAUGGGGCNNNNNNNNNNNNNNNNNNNNNNNNNNNNNNNNNNNNNNNNNNNNNNNNNNNNNNNNNNNNNNNNNNNNNNNNNNNNNNNNNNNNNNNNNNNNNNNNNNNNNNNNNNNNNNNNNNNNNNNNNNNNNNNNNNNNNNNNNNNNNNNNNNNNNNNNNNNNNNNNNNNNNNNNNNNNNNNNNNNNNNNNNNNNNNNNNNNNNNNNNNNNNNNNNNNNNNNNNNNNNNNNNNNNNNNNNNNNNNNNNNNNNNNNNNNNNNNNNNNNNNNNNNNNNNNNNNNNNNNNNNNNNNNNNNNNNNNNNNNNNNNNNNNNNNNNNNNNNNNNNNNNNNNNNNNNNNNNNNNNNNNNNNNNNNNNNNNNNNNNNNNNNNNNNNNNNNNNNNNNNNNNNNNNNNNNNNNNNNNNNNNNNNNNNNNNNNNNNNNNNNNNNNNNNNNNNNNNNNNNNNNNNNNNNNNNGGAAGAUGGCUCCAGCAGCAGCACGAUGGCGUGGUGGUGAUGGAGCUGCAGUACUCCGGCAGGGCUUCGCCAAGCUCUAUGGAGGAGGAUGUGUUGGAGAGGGAGAGGGAGGCACCAAAGGCAAAGGUAAGAGGUCCUCCAUCCUCCCCACUAUAUAUAGGGGGGCCUAGGGGGGGGGGCGCCGGCCCUAGGAGAUGCAAUCUCCUAGGGGGGCGGCGGCCAAGGGGUGGGGGACUUGCCCCCAAGCAAGGGGGCGCCCCCCCCUUUAGGGUUUCCCCCACCCUAGGCGCAUGGGCCCUAAGGGAAGUGGCGCCCCAGCCCACUUUGGGCUGGAUCCCUUCCCACUUCAGCCCAUGGGGCCCUCCGGGAUAGGUGGCCCCACCCGGUGGACCCCCGGGACCCUUCCGGUGGUCCCGGUACAAUACCGGUGACCCCGAAACUUGUCCCGAUAGCCGAAAUAGCACUUCCUAUAUAUAAUUCUUUACCUCCGGACCAUUCUGGAACUCCUCGUGAUGUCCGGGAUCUCAUCCGGGACCCCGAACAACAUUCGGGUUACUGCAUAUACAUAUCCCUAUAACCCUAGCGUCACCGAACCUUAAGUGUGUAGACCCUACAGGUUCGGGAGACAUGUAGACAUGACCGAGAUCGCUCUCCGGUCAAUAACCAACAGCGGGAUCUGGAUACCCAUGUUGGCUCCCACAUGCUCCUCGAUGAUCUCAUCGGAUGAACCACGAUGUCGAGGAUUCAAGCAACCCCGUAUACAAUUCCCUUCGUCAGUCGGUAUGUUACUUGCCCGAGAUUCGAUCGUCGGUAUCCCAAUACCUCGUUCAAUCUCGUUACCGGCAAAUCACUUUACUCUUACCGUAAUGCAUGAUCCCGUGACCAGACACUUGGUCACUUUGAGCUCAUUAUGAUGAUGCAUUACCGAGUGGGCCCAGUGAUACCUCUCCGUAAUACGGAGUGACAAAUCCCAGUCUUGAUCCGUGUCAACCCAACAGACACUUUCAGAGAUACCCGUAGUAUACCUUUAUAGUCACCCAGUUACGUUGUGACGUUUGGUACACCCAAAGCACUCCUACGGUAUCCGGGAGUUACACGAUCUCAUGGUCUAAAGGAAAAGAUACUUGACAUUGGAAAACUCUAGCAAACGAACUAUACGAUCUUGUGCUAUGUUUAGGAUUGGGUCUUGUCCAUCACAUCAUUCUCCUAAUGAUGUGAUCUCGUUAUCAAUGACAUCCAAUGUCCAUAGUCAGGAAACCAUGACUAUCUGUUGAUCAACGAGCUAGUCAACUAGAGGCUUACCGGGGACAUGUUGGUGUCUAAGUAUUCACACAUGUAUUAUGAUUUCCGGAUAACACAAUUAUAGCAUGAAUAAAAGACAAUUAUCAUGAACAAGGAAAUAUAAUAAUAAUGCUUUUAUUAUUGCCUCUAGGGCAUAUUUCCAACACUUUCCUCUACGAGGCAUCACCCUUUGUCACUCUUGCCCGCACACCUCCCCUCAAAACGAGAAGGCCGAGCACGGCAUUCGCUCCAUGAACGACAUUAUGCGCACACUCCUCCAAGCUCACAUGCCACCUUCGUUUUGGGUCGACGCCCUCAACACCACCACAUACUUACUGAAUUUCGCCCAUCCCGAGCCAUCGACCACAUCCCACCCUACUACGCCCUCUUUGGUACCUCUCCAGAUUACAGCUCCCUACGCACGUUCGUCUGCCUCUGCUACCAAAACCUCUAUGCCACUAUGCCCUACAAAUUAGCUCCCCGCUCCGUUCGCUGCAUUCUCCUCGGUAUGCCACUUGAGCAUAAAGGCUACAGGUGCCUGGACCUCUCCAAUCGAUGACUCAUUACCUCUAGACAUGUCAUUUUUUGACGAAAACACCUUCCCAUUCAUUGAUGCCCCGAGCGGCCACACGCCUGCACGAGCAGGGUCUGCUCCGGCCGCAGAAAAUCAAGCACCCACCUCCAUCCCCCUCGGAUCACCCACUCCACCAGUCACGCACCACCUCCCAUCCCCAAGCAUGCAGCCCGACCCCACCUCCCAAACCCAUGCAGUGAUUCACCCAUCACCUGCAUGCGGCGCGCCUCCCCUCGUGUCGACUCCACGCCUAGAUGCAGUAGCCCGCCACUUACGCCUCUGCAUGCAGCGCCCCUCACUCUAUGCCGCCCACGCAUGUAGUACGAUCCCACCCUGAGUCGUGCCGAUUUUACCUGCCAAAAACUUGCAUGCCAGGCGCACCUGCGCAAAGUCCAGUUUUCUGCAGCCAAAGAAGCUUCUGACCGUCGCUACCUCUCCCGCCCCCAUCUCUCCUAUUCCCGCAAACUACAAAGAAGCUCUCAAAGACCCCAACUGGUACAAUGUUAUGCUUGAAGAAUUUAACGCUUUGUUGCAAAGCAAAACGUGGUCUUUGGUUGCUUGCUCUGCAGGUGUCAACUUGGUGUCUGGGAAGUGGAUAUUCCGCCACAAGCUUCAUCUCGACGGCUCCCUCGCUCGGUACAAGGCGUGUUGGGUACUUCGUGGCUUCACAAAGCAGCCUGGCAUUGACUACGGGGAGACCUUCAGCCCCGUGUGGUGAAACCGGCCACCAUCCGCGUCAUCCUCAGUGUCGCCAUCAGUAACCGUUGGGCCAUUAACCAGCUGGACAUGAAGAACCCCUUCCUCCACGGCACUCUCGAUGAGCUCGUCUACAGUCAGCCGCCGGCUAGCUUCGUCGACACCGCACACCCCUCGACCAUGUGCAAACUCCAAAAGUCCUUGUAUGACUUAAGCAGGCUCCUCGUGCGUGGUUCCAGCGGUUCACCACAUUCCUUCUCUCGCUCGGCUUCACGGUGUCAAGAUCCGACACAUCCCUAUUUAUUCUCCGCCGUGGCACCUCAGUGGCAUACCUCUUGCUAUAUGUUGACGAUAUCAUUCUCACCGCUAGCUCCUCCGGGUUACUCACCAUCGUUACCGCCGCUCUCACCUCUGAGUUCUCCAUGGCGAACCUCAGCUCGCUCCACCACUUCCUUGGCGUCAAUGUUCAGUGCAGCCCCACUGGUUUGUUUCUUUCCGAGCAACAGUAUGCGCUCGAGAUCCUUGAUCGCGCCUCCAUGCUCAACUGCAAACCCAUCACUACCCCCGUCGACACCAAAGCAAAGCUCGCCACCUCGCCACCUCAGCUAACGACUCUGCUCCUGACCCAUCCCUCUUCCAUAGUCUCGCCGGUGCCCUGCAGUACCUCACGCUCAUGCGCCCGGACAUAGCCUACACCGUCCAGCAGGUGUGCCUCGUCAUGCACUCGCCGCGCAUGCUACACGCCGCCCUCCUCAAAUGUAUCAUGCGUUAUCUGCGUGGUACCACCCACCUUGGCCUUCAUAUUCGUCUGUCUGCUUCAUCCCAGCUCAUGUCUUACACAGACGCCGACUGGGCCGGUUGUCCCGACACCGUACCUGACGCUCGAUGUCUGGCUACUACAUGUACAUCGGUGACAACCUCGUCUCCUGGUCUUCGAAGCGACAAACCACCUUGUCGCGAUCGAGUGCGGAGGCAGAGUACCGAGCUGUCGCCAACGCGGUCACGGAGUCGUGUUGGCUACGAAGCUUCUUCAGGAUAUCGGAUGGCCUCCAUGGUGCUACCACUGUUUACUGAGACAACGUAUCGGUGACUGAAGGAAAUAUGCCCUAGAGGCAAUAAUAAAGUUAUUAUUUAUUUCCUUAUAUCAUGAUAAAUGUUUAUUAUUCAUUCUAGAAUUGUAUUAACGGAAACAUAAUACAUGUGUGAAUACAUAGACAAACAGAGUGUCACUAGUAUGCCUCUACUUGACUAGCUCGUUGAUCAAAGAUGGUUAUGUUUCCUAACCAUAGACAUGAGUUGUCAUUUGAUUAACGGGAUCACAUCAUUAGGAGAAUGAUGUGAUUGACUUGACCCAUUCCGUUAGCAUAGCACUUGAUCGUUUAGUUUGUUGUUAUUGCUUUCUUCAUGACUUAUACAUGUUCCUAUGAUUAUGAGAUUAUGCAACUCCCGUUUACCAGAGGAACACUUUGUGUGCUACCAAACGUCACAACGUAACUGGGUGAUUAUAAAGGUGCUCUACAGGUGUCUCCGAAGGUACUUGUUGGGUUGGCGUAUUUCGAGAUUAGGAUUUGUCACUCCGAUUGUCGGAGAGGUAUCUCUAGGCCCUAUCGGUAAUGCACAUCACUUAAGCCUUGCAAGCAUUGCAACUAAUGAGUUAGUUGCGGGAUGAUGUUUUACGGAACGAGUAAAGAGACUUGCCGGUAACGAGAUUGAACUAGGUAUUGAGAUACCGACGAUCGAAUCUCGGACAAGUAACAUACCGAUGACAAAGGAAAUAACGUAUGUUGUUAUGCGGUCUGACCGAUAAAGAUCUUCGUAGAAUAUGUGGGAGCCAAUAUGAGCAUCCAGGUUCCGCUAUUGGUUAUUGACCGGAGACAUGUCUCGGUCAUGUCUACAUAGUUCUCGAACCUGUAGGGUCCGCACGCUUAAAGUUUCGGUGACGAUUGUAUUAUGAGUUUAUGUGAUUUGAUGUACCGAAGGUAGUUUGGAGUCCCGGAUGAGAUCGGGGACAUGACGAGGAGUCUCAAAAUGGUCGAGACGUAAAGAUCGAUAUAUUGGACGACUAUAUUCGGACAUCGGAAAGGUUCCGAGUGAUUCGGGUAUUUUCGGGAGUACCGGGAGUUACGGGAAUACGAGGAAGAAGUAAUGGGCCUCAUGGACCAAGUGGUGGAAGAGAGGAGGCAGGGCGCGCGGCCCUCCUAGCCCAAACCGAAUUGGACUAGGGGGCCGGCCCCCCUUUCCUCCUUUUCCUCCUUCUCCUUCCUUCUCCUUCUCCUCCUUCCUUUCCUCCUCCUAGUAGGAGUAGGAAAGGGGAGUCCUACUCCUACUAGGAGGAGGACUCCUCCUCCUGGCGCGCCCAUAGAGGGCCGGUCGGCCUCCCCCCUUGCUCCUUUAUAUACAGGGGCAGGGGGGCACCUCUAGACACACAAGUUGAUCUUCGUGAUCGUUCCUUAGCCGUGUGUGGUGCCCCCUUCCACCAUAUUCCACCUCGGUCAUAUCGUAGCGGUGCUUAGGCGAAGCCCUGCGUCAGUAGAACAUCAUCACCGUCAUCACGCCGUCGUGCUGACGAAACUCUCCCUCAACACUCGGCUGGAUCGGAGCUCGAGGGACGUCACCGAGUUGAACGUGUGAGAACUCGGAGGUGCCGUACGUUCGGUACUUGGAUCGGUCGGAUCGGGAAGACGUACGACUACUUCCUCUACGUUGUGUCAACACUUCCGUUGCUGGUCUACGAGGGUACGUAGACGACACUCUCCCCUCUUAUUGCUAUGCAUCACCAUGUUCUUGCGUGUGCGUAGGAAAUUUUUUGAAAUUACUACGUUAUCCAACAAUGACGUACCUCUCCACCAACCCGGUACAACACCAACGCACCAAGCACGUGGAGAUUGAUCUUCAUUUCGUGCGCGACCGCGUUGUCUUCGGAGAUGUUCGUGUUCUGCAUGUUCCGGCAACCUCCCAGUUUGCCGACGUUUUCACCAAGGGGAUACCAACCGGCGUCUUGACAGAGUUCCGGUCCAGCCUCAAUGUCGUCGAAGACCCCGUUGCGGCUGUGGGGGGCUGCUGGAAUUGUAAAACGCCUCCUGCAUGUACAUUACCGGGUCCCUCGGCUGGACAGAUCGGCUCGCGCAAGUAGCAUGGGACACCUGCGUCUGUUACACACGAUCCCCUUCUCCGUUGCUUGUAGCUGCUGUACCUAGGCGUAUAUAUAUAACUCUGUACAAUCUGGAAUAGACACGGUGAAGAUCACCUUUCAACUGUUCGCACUGUGCGGCCAAACCUUGUUUGGCUGGGACUGACAAAUGAAAAUGAUGCACCCGAGCACAUCCAGAAGGAUCUGAACGCUCGCAGUCCAAACCAGCUUAUCGGCAUUGGUACAGAGUUGAGGCAAAACCGAGCAGUGAAGCAAGCUCCAGCAUUUUCAACAUGAAGGAAACGAAAAAGACGAAACAGGCUCCAACAUUCUCGUCAAAAAAGAUAAGAAAAGGAAAAAAGAAACAGGCUCCAGCAUUCUUGACACAAAAGAAAUGAAGAAGGAAAACGAAACAGGCUCAGGCAUUCUUGACACAAAAGAAAAGAAAAAGGAAAAGGAGAAAGGCUCCAAUAUUCUUGACAAAAUAGAGAAGCAAAAGAAAAAGGAAUCAGGCACAAGCAUCCUCGACACAGAAGAAAAGAAAAGGGAAAAGGAAAUUGGAUCCAGCAUUCUCGAUAAAAAGGAAGAGAAACAGGAAACAGGUUCAACCAUUCUCGACAAAAAGGAAAAGAAAAAGAAAACAGGCUCCGACAUUUUGGACAAAAGAGAAAAGAACAAGGAAACGAAAACAGGCUCCAGCAUUGAUCUCGACAAGAAAGAAAAGAAAAAAAUUUGAAAAGCAAGCUCCGUCAGAACGGUAACAGUAGCACCAAUGCUAAAGAAGAGCAAAUUGAACAGUAGCACCAAGGUGAAGGAAGCUCAAGACCGAUGAGAUGUCCUGGUUUCUAUAUAUCCAAUUAAUAUACCAUAUUUUAAUUAUUGUAACAAUAUGAUUGUAUUUUUUGUGAUGUAAUGAGUCGUUUGAUUCGAACCUCUGUUUGUUCAGUUUCUGCUUGCUGCUGUUGUAAUCACAAACCGUCAUGUCAAAUAAAUGGAGUGAAUAGCAAAAAACUACCAUAUUACGGGCUAUCGUUCCGGAAAACUAUCGCUUGUUUUAAUUUUUCAAAAAACUACCACAAAAGUGGCUGGCUGUUCCAAAAAACCCAAGUGGCCGAACGGUUAAGUUUUAACUGGGGUUAUGACAUGUGGGGCCCGCCCGUCAGGGUUUUGUCGGCCACAGUGCUCACGGCGCGCGGGUGACGGCCGUUAGGGCGCACGGCCCGUCCCGACGAGGUCAAAAUGGAUCCGGCCCUCACUCUGUCUCCCUCUCGCUCACUCACUCUCUCCCCCCUCACUCUCACUCUCCCCCCUCGCUCUGUUUCCCCUGGCCGAGCUCUCCAUCGUCGCUGACCACCUCAGUUCCUCGUCGCCGGCCAGGAUGCCUUCUUGGAAUGAUGGGGAUGAGAGCUCCGACGAUAGCAUGGGGGGCAACCUGAUGGACAUGGAGUACUUUGUAAGCCUCAUCGUCCUCCUCUCUGUCAUUAUCUAGGGUUAGGGUUGAAUCGAUUUGGGAAUGAGGGUUGAUGAGCUGUAUAUUUGUAUGCAUGGAUUCAUUUGGUUUGGUUAUCUAUUAGUUUUGAUCUAGGGUAUGGAUGGCACUGUGAUGUCUGAUCUGACCUUGAGCAAGGCAAAGCUUGACUCAAGUUGAACUAGUUGAUGCAUUGGUUCUGAUCUACCUUUUACUGCAUGUAGGACACACCUGACACCAUCCCUGAGCCACUCUGGUGUGGUGCUCCCAUGGAGGAAGUUGCCAAGUGUACUCUGCAUGAUAUGAAGCCUAGGAAGUGUGUUGCUUUUGAAGGUGCUAAGACUGGGAGGAGGUUCUAUGGAUGCCCUGUUCAGGUGAGUAAUUGAGUAUCCUGGGUGGAUUCAGUUAUGCCUAGUGGAUUCAGUUAUUCCUAGUGGUUACUGAAUUUGUACAUUAACUCUAUUUGAACUGAAUUUAGUACUGAAUUUAUGGUUACAUGUCCUCCUUGUGUACCAACCCUCUUUUUGAAUUGAAGUUAGAACUGAAUUUCUGCAUUUUCUGAAGUAUGUGUUCUCUGAUCAAACUACAGGGAGGUGUGAAUUGUGGUGUAGUUCAGUGGGUUGAUCCUGCCUGGCCUGAUGUACUUAAGAACUGCCUCAUCAAGUUGUGGGAAAUGUUCCAUGAGCAAAACCUUGGAAGGUUUCAAGACAAGCAUGCAUAUGAGGAUGAGGUUGCCAAGUUGAAGAAGGACUAUGAUCUGCUCUGCACUGAGUAUCAUAAAAUGGUUGAUGAUGUUAGCAAGAUGUUUGACUGGCAUGAUGGUGUUGGCAAGAUUGACUACCAAAAAGCAAUGGAUGCUGGGAAAUUUGAGAAGCAGAAGGAAGAGCUAGAGCUGGAGAUGAAGAUGGAGAAGCUAAGGCUAGCAAAAGAACAGAGGUGUAUCCUUCAGGCCCAGGCAGACAUAAUUCACAACACCAGGAAGGCAAUGAAAGAGAUAAAGGUGGACAGGGAUCUUUUUGCACAAGAGAAGACAAAGCUUGAGAAAGUAGUUGCUGAUCUGCUAAAUGCUGGCCAUGGGAGCAAGGAAAAGCUUGAGAAAAUCAAGGCCAUACUGGAGGCUUGAAGAUUUGGACAAUGGUGGUUAAGUAAGUAAGGUGGCCUACACAUAUAACAGGCCUUGCAAGAUGAUGGUAGGAGUAUAUUUUGUGCAGUCCUAUAUGAACUAUUUAAGUUAUGGUAACUAGAGUGGUGGAGAACCUUUGCUAAGUCUGGCUUAUGUUAUUGUACUGUUAAGAACCUAUCUAUCUUAAGUAAUGCAGUGAAGAACUGUUUUAUUUCUUUAGGUUGUUUUCCUGAAAGUAGCAAUGCUGAACUAGUAUAUUUUUGGGCCUAAAACCAUUAUGUACACAUUGUGGGCCUAGACUGGGCUGUUUUAUUACUCCACCUACCUACCACCAACCAUUAGUAGUCUAUAAAGCCCACCCCUUGAGUGAAACCGCAGUCAAUCCCCCCAUCCCCACCCUUCUCAACCCCCCAGCCGCCAAAGAAACCCUAGAAUCCAAGGGAGAGAUGGAUCCUGGAGAGGUCAUAGAUGGAGAAGAAGAGGUGCCCAGACAAGCCAGGCGCAGAGAUGCAAGGAGGAGGGCGAGAAGGCAACUUGCUGAGAUGAUCCUUGCAACACGCAACCGCAAGGACAUAAAGCAGUUCCUGGAGGCAUUCCCCCCUGGUUCCAACCCUAGUGAUGAUGAUAUCAUCUACUGGGCAAGGAGGAGGGCAAAUUUCCAUCCCUUUUAGGUCACUAGGCAAAGGUGGACUAGGAUUUUGUACCCAUGAUGCUGCUGUUAUGUUUCUUUGUUCCUAGAUCUGUCUUUCUAUCUAUGUGAUGUUUGAAGUUGGUGUAAGAACAAUGUUGAAUGAGCUAUGUAUGUGACGAAUCAAGUUGUCCAUGAUGCAAUGCAAUGUAUGAAGCUGGUGAAAGAAAAAUGUUGAAUGAUCUAUCUAUGUGAUGAAUCAAUCUGUCUAUGAUGCAAUUUAUGAGUGAAUCUUUUAUCUAUAUUUGUAUGUAUGAAUGAAUUGAUCUGGUGAUCUUGAUGUUUUAAGUUAGAUAUGUUAUGGUUUGUUCAGAUGGCCAUAUCUUGUUGUUUUAGGUUUGAUCUCUUAGGGUUUGGUGCCUAGAUGGGAAAAUCUUGAUGUUUUAGCUUUGAUAUGUUAGGUUUUGGUCCUAGAUAGCCACUUUGGGGUUGGUCAACAAGUAGCCACCCAAAGUGGCCAAAUUUGGGUGGCUUUAGGGUUGGUCGACAAGUUCCACCCCAAAGUGGCCAAAUGUGGCCACUUUGGGGUUGGUCGACAAGUAGCCCCCCAAAGUGACCAAAUUGACCUAAUCAUAUCAAUCAAUUAUCAACAAAAUAAAUCACUUGAUCUACAUAACAAUGCUCAGCAUAAGAAAUAAUUUCAUAUGAAACAAUUCAUAACCUAGGACAUAUCAAAUCAAAAUAAAGCUUGACAACAGAUAACUUAAUUGUUCCAAGCAGUUCAAACACAGACCAUAUAACUUAAUUGUUCCAAGCAGUUCAUACAUAGACCACAUAACUUAAUUGUUCAAAUGAAAAAAAAGUUCACUGCAAAUAACACAGAUAGCAAGCAUGCCUAGCAAGUAGAGUUCAAGGCAUAAAGCAUAGUUGAGUGCAACACAUUCAAUGGUUGCCACUGGCUGUGAAAUACAAAGCAAGUUUGCUUGGGGCCUUCCUCUUCCUCUUAGAACCAACAUCAGCUUGACCUGAUGUUGAUGCUGCCCUUGGAGCAUUGAAACCUCUUGCACUUGACCUGGUGUUCUUUACUGGAGAUGAUGCACUUGACCUGGUGUUGUUGGCUGGUGCUGAAGCAGGUGGUGGGUUCUUUCUCUUUCUUGAUCCACCUGUUGAAACUGCAGUAGAUGUGGUUGCCCUUGUUGUAGCAGAUGUGGUUGACCUUGUUGAAGUUGUUGCUAGUUUCCUGCCCCUAAGUGGUCCUAAAGCUGGAGCUGGACCUGAAGCUGGAGCUGGACUUGAAGCUGGAGCUGGACCUGAUGAUGUGGCCUGGUGGUUGUUUUUCCUUGUCAUAAACUUGGCCUUAAGUCCGUCUCCAUAGAUUGUCCACCUGUGGCCUUGCAGACCACAGUUACUGCAUGUUAUUGUGCCCAUCCUUGAUGUAUCCUUUGGAGCUGGCACCUCAAAUUCACCCUUUCUCCUAGCUGUCUGCUUCUUGCCUUUCUUCUCCCUGAAAACUGGUGGUUCUAUGUCUGGUGUGUUGGUGUUGGGCCAGAAUUCAGGGCCAGGGACAGGGUAGAUGAUGUGCUGGUAUGCAGCCUUAUACAUUGGCUUCUUAAAGAAUGGAUGCACAUAAUCUUCUGGGUGAACUUUUAUCUUCUGCAUUGCAGAUAUUGCAUGGUGGCAAGGUGAUCCAGUCAUGUCCCACCUCCUGCAAGAGCAGCUCCCUACAUCAAGCUUCACACAAUAUGUGUUCUCUCCACUAGUUACUUGCCAGAUGUUGGGACCAGCCAUGUUUGCUUCACAGUAUUUAGCCCACUUCUUGCUCUCCUCAAGCUUCUCCAUGUAAUCUGGGGUUAUUUCCCACCUACAGCUCUCUGUUUUCUCUCUGAUGCCCUGGUACUUAACCAUUAGUUUGGUCCUCAACCCUUCAAACAUGGUCUUAAUUAGUUUUGACCUAACAUCUAGAAUCAUUUUUUUGAAAACCUCACUAAGGUUGUUCACUACCAAGUCAGUCUUGCACACAUGAUCCAUUGCAUAUCUAGCCCAACACUCCUUAGGGAUGCCAUUCAACCACAUGUAGGCUGGUUCACAUGCUGCUUUCAAACCUGCCAUUCCUUCUUUGUGACCAUGUUUAGUGAAGGAAUAGCUAGCUUUGUCAACCCAUUUCUUAAGUUCUUCUGCUCUAAAGCCAGCUGACUGGAAGUUGGCAUAUAUGUGUCUUAGGCAAUAUCUUUGUGGGGAUUGAGGAAAUACUUCAUUAAUUGCUUUAAGAAGGCCCUGUUGUUUGAUUACAUAAGGUAGUAAUGAGAUAACUAUAGCAGCAUUGCUAUGUGCAUAAGAAUAAUACAGAGCCAGAGAAAAUACCUUCUGCCUGUCAGACAUGAUGGUGUAGUUUCCAAACUGGUUGCUGGUGCCAAUGCAGACUCUAAGUUGGUUUAAAAACCAGGUCCAGCUAGGCCCAUCCUCUUUGUCAACCACCCCAAAAGCAAUUGGGAACACAUUGUUGUUCCCAUCUCUCCCAGUUGCUACCAAUAUCUGUUGGCCUGUGGAUAACUUGAUGAAGCAACCAUCAAGUCUUGCAUAAACAGAGAUAGUUAGGGCAAAAUUGAAUAACUUGAUUACAUUUGUAACAUGAUUAAAUCACUGAUUUGUACCUAUGAAAGGCCUACAACCAGCAAGAAAUCCAUCUUUUGAUGCCUGGAGGCAAUAGAACAUGUACUUGAACCUUGGUGUGGGGGCUGGGUUCAAAGGAUCCUCAAAAGUUGUCACUAUGCACCUGCUUCCAGGGUUUGUGUCAAGCACACAUUGUAGGUAGUCCCUCAACCUCAGAUACUGCUUUCUAUGAUCACCUUGCACAACAUCAACAGCCAUCAGUCUUGCCCUAUAUGCCAAACUCCUAGGUACAUGCACCCCAAACUUCUUCUUAGUAUGUUUGAGAACUGUCUCUACAUCAGCCUUUACAUUUGAUCUAACUGUGUCCUCCACAGCUUCUGCAACCCAUUCAGCAGUAACCUUUGUACUCUCUCCACAAGCUCCACAACUAUGAUCCAUGUGGCACUUCUUGAUUGUGAAUGUAUCUUCAUGGGCUACUUUGGAUGCAGUCAUGAAAAAAUCACAUCCAUUCUUCCUCUCUGGGCACCAAACAAUAACCCUUGAUGGUUCAUUCCUAUGGUACUGAAAGUUUCUCAAAGUCCUAACAUGAAAAUUUCUCAAUGCCUUUCUAAACUCAUACACAUUGGUGAAGCAAAGGUCCUUGCACAGCUGCUCAUGUGCAUCAGGUACCUUUGGGUCAUACCAUUUCCUCUCUUUCUUCUUCUUCAAUCUUCUCUUCCUUCCAGAAGGUAGUCUUGGAGUCUCCCCAUCUGAGUCAGAAAUGCCCAUAUCACCAGGGAAGCAAUACUCAUCAGCUUCAAGUACAAAAUCUUGAAACUUUGGGAUCUCUGGCUGACUGUGAGCUCUGGAAGUUGGACCUGGAUUUGCUACUGCUCUUCUCACAGGCUUGAGUUUCUCAGGCCUGCAUUUUUCCACAACUAUUUCCUCUCCACUGUCUGCCUCUUUCUCCUCCUGCCAAAACUCUGAAACAUCACUGUCACCUUCAAACUGUGGUCUGUCUUCUAUAGCAUCUCUUUCUUCUUCAUUUCCAAUAUUUUCUUCACCUCUCUUCCAAGCCUUGUAAGACAUCUUUAUCCCUCUAUAGUCACCCCUAUCAAUCUCAAAGUCUGAGGAUGAUUUGUCAAUAUCAUCAUCCUCUUGACCAGCAGCCUGUCCAUCAUCAUCUCCACCAUUAGCUUCUGAAAUGUUGAAGUUACAGCUUUGCUGUGUGUUCAAAUUAACUUCAAGAGGGUGGACCACUCCAUCUUGUGACAGACUUAACACAAAACCAGGACCCCCCAGUGGGUUGCCUAUUGGAAUUUGUUCUUCACAAACAUUGUGAGCCCUGUUACAUUCAACAUCUCUAUCUUCAUUUGCCUUGGAAACAAUGAUAUUGAGCACUGUGAAAUCUAAGUGGUCUAUCAUUUCUUCAACUGCAUCUUGACUGUCCAAAAGAAAUAAACCUUCCUGUCCAAUCCCUUGUUCUUUUACCCAGUACAUGUAGUCAUCUGACCCAUAGCCUUCAGUCUCAGUAAGUGCUAUCAAGUUCAGAAAUGUGAUGUCUGAAACAGAAAACCUCCUUUCCAUAUUAUCUCUGCCCUGGAAAUGCAGCCUAACAUCCCAAACUUCAUCAUCUAGCCUGCAUUACAUAAUAUGUUAUUUGAAAAGCCCAACUAAGUAAGUGUUUUUGCUACAAAUAUUCAGUGCACACUACUAUAAAGUACAGUAAGGAAUCUGAAUCCAAAAAAUGCUUCUCUGAAUCCACCAUGCAUUUCUACUAAAUCUAACUAAUCCUUCAGUGCUAAGUGAUACUGUUGCAUCCAAAACAUGCCACAGAGUGUUUGCUCAACUAUUAUUCAGUGCAUGUUCAUGUUCUAAGAUGAAUCACAGCAGCAUCAACCUAGGGUUUGGUCAAAAAACUAACUAAAUUAUGCUAUGUUAUUUGAAAUGAACAAGCAGAAAUGCAGAAACUGUUGAAGGAGCUCAUAAGAGGAAAAAAACUUACUCCACCCCUCCAAAUGCAGAGGCCCAGUGCUGGGAGUUGGCCGGAUCUGCCUGCACAGCCCUAUCAAGAGACCUCGCUGCUCUGUACUCAAGCGAGAACUGGCAAUCAUCAGGCGACGGUGGUGUAGCCUGUGUCGUAGGAGCCUGCAUCAGAGCUGCAGCCUGUGGUGUCCGCUGCGGCGGCGGCGGCGCCGCCGGCUAGGUUGCGAAGCUACCACUCCCCAGCCAGUUAUCAACCUCUAAGAACUCGCCGCCUCCAUCCCCCCUUCCACCUCCACCCGUUGAAUGGCCGCCAUCGCCUAGUUUCGCCGCCGCCGCCGCCAUCGGAGAGGGAGGCGCGCACAAGAGAGAGGGAGACAGAGAGGGGGAAGACAGAGUGAGGGCGGGCCGGAUCCAUUUGACUUGGUCGGGACGGCCCGUGUGCCCUAACGGCCGUCACCCGCGCGCCGUGAGCACUGUGGCCGACAAAACCCUGACGGGCGGGCCCCACAUGUCAUAACCCCAGUUAAAACUUAACCGUUCGGCCACUUGGGUUUUUUGGAACAGCCAGCCACUUUUGUGGUAGUUUUUUGAAAAAUUAAAAAAAGCGGUAGUUUUCCGGAACGAUAGCCUGUAAUGUGGUAGUUUUUUGCUAUUUACUCCAAAUAAAUGCUUAAAAAGAGUGCAUCUAAUGGAGUAGUACAAAAUGGUAAAGAAAAUAAAUCAGCCACUAAUGGAGUAACAAAGGUGAUAGCACGGAGUUUGGUAGGCACCGACAAUGAGUAAGCAGGCUGAGGCCACCGGUGCACGAAGAGGAUCAGAAGCGCUGGUUGGGGCUGUGGUUUGGGGCGGCUGCGAUGAAACUUCUUAUUCAACGCUUAUAGCACCGUUUACAGUGUUAUCGGUACCUUUUUUUUGAGGGAAAGAGCCAACUUUAUUAAUCAAAAUCCACAGUGCGUGGGACACAACGAUGGUCAUGGGGCUGGCCAAGCCACACAUGACGCCCUGGUGGUAGCGAUAAAGAAAACCUAGCUAUCUCGUGAGCUUCAGCAUUCUGAGCUCGACUCUCAAAGGUGAAAUUACAUAAAAGUGGUGAUGAGCUCAUCUUUAUCUCUCUGAUUAUAGCUCCAUAAGUGCCAUGACUACCCAUAGCAAUGUCGCCAAUGACUUGUUUGCAGUCCGAAGCCACCACAAAACGUUGCACAUUAAGAUCUUGUGCUAGGGAAAUAGCCUCCCGACAUGCUAUGGCCUCCAGUGUCGCGGGGUCGCAAACUCCGACAAUGACAAGUGAUGAGCUCCCCAUAUAGACACCCUGGCUGUCACUGCAUAUGGCCGCGGCCGUGCCACCCCUCUGAAAUCUUACUGCCACGUCAACAUGAACCUUAGCAUAGCCAGCAGGUGGAGCCUUCAGCCUCUGAGUAGAAGCGUGGCCAGUAGCUGCAGAACGUACGUUGAUCUUUGCAGGGAGUGAGGCAGUAGCCAAAUCAGCCAUGAAGCGAGUUAUAAACUCCUUCGUCGCCCUGGGUGAUUGGAAUAUUGAUUCAUGGAUAGCUUUUCUCCUCGAGGUCCAGAUCGCCCAUAAGGUGACCGCCAGCAGAGUGAACUUCUCAUGUGUUAGCAUAUCCAUUAAUCCAAAGAGCCAGCUCUUCGCCCUCGUCUCCGUUGAUGCGACCAGACUGCAGCCCAAGUCCUCAUCUACCAACGCCCAUAUGCAUCUGGAGACUGUGCACUCCAGGAGGGAAUGACUCCAUGAAUCAGGAGAACCGCAGAGGCCGCACGAGCUAGUCGUUGACAUAUUACGAUGGGCCCUCACAUCCUCCGUCGGUAGUGACUGUUUUGAUAAACGCCAUAGAAACAUGCGUACUUUUGCUGGUACCACAGUUUUCCAGAGGGACUUCCAAGAGGCUUCAUCGACAUGGUUGCUGGAUGAUGCGCCGGAGCCCUCUAGCCACGCCUCUCGCCGUUGCUUCAUAGAUACCAACAUAUUAUAGGCUGACCUGACUGUGAAUUGUCCGGUUCUCUCGUGCAUCCAGCUCCAAAAGUCCUGCAUAGGAGCCGUACACAACGGGAUACCCAUGAUGAUUUUAGCAUCGAAAGGCAAGAAAGUUGCUUCCACCACAGAUCUCUUCCAUGAAGCAUUAGUUGCAUCGAUCAGUUCAGAUACUGUGUUGGGAGGAUUACUUACGCAACAACCAUACGGUCUCAUCAUCUCUGACCGGGGAAGCCAGUUUUCGGUCCAAAUGCUGGUGCUCGCCCCAUCUCCUAUCCGCUUGAUCAGUCCCAAUUUAAGAAUAUCCCGGCCUUCCACUAUGGCUCUCCAUAUCUGACUUGGAUGGUUCCCAAGUGUUGCCUCAAGUAUAGAUGUAUGUGGAAAAUAUACGCUCUUCAGAAUCCGUGCACUCAGAGACUCGGGGUCUUGUAACAUUCUCCAUGCCUGCCUGGCUAACAUGGCAAGAUUGAAAAGCUCAAAAUCUUUGAAUCCAAGGCCUCCCAUGCUUUUUGGUUGUGUCAUUGCUUCCCAAGAGACCCAGUGAGGUUUGCGUUGGCCGUUUGAGCUCCCCCACCAAAAUUUCCUUAUUAGCAUAUUGAGGUGCUCACAUAACCCCCUAGGUAGUUUGAAACAAGACAUGGAAAAUACCGGCACUGACUGGGCAACAGAUUUGACUAGUACCUCUUUUCCUGCCGCCGACAAAGUUCUCUCUAUCCAUCCCUGAAUUUUGCUCCAUAAUCUGUCCUUCAAAUAUUUGAAGGCACCGUUUUUUGAACUCCCUAUAUCAGAUGGCAUGCCCAGAUACUUCUCAUUCAAGGUUUCCUUGGGGACAUUGAACAUACCUUUUAUAGCAUUGCGAGUUUCCUCAGAAACGCCUUUACUAAAGAAAAUUGAGGAUUUGUUGUAGUUGAUUCUUUGACCUGAAGCUUGGCUAUAAAUUUCCAACAACUGGUUAACCUCUGUAGCACCCGCACUGUUGGCCUUGAAGAACAGCAGGCUGUCAUCAGCGAAUAGAAGAUGGUUAACUAGUGGUGCCUGCAGCGCCACCUGAAUCCCACCCAAGUUUGAUGACUCACUUUGUGAUUUGAAAAGGCACGACAUGCCCUCUGCUGCUAACAAGAACAAGUACGGUGAUAUUGGGUCACCUUGUCGGAUUCCACGUGAUGGGUUGAACUCCUCAAGUUUCUUUCCAUUGAACAUGACUGCGAAUUUUACUGAGGUAACCAUGCCCAUUACAAUAUCCACCCACCUUCUGUUAAAACCCAAUAUAAUCAUGAUGGCUUAGAGAUAAGCCCAUUCAACUCGAUCAUACGCCUUCAUCAUAUCCAAUUUCAGAGCACAUGAGUGAUUUUUCUUUUCCUUGUUCCUCUUCAUGAAAUGCAAUCACUCAUAUGCCGUUAUUAUGUUGUCUGUGAUCAAUCUCCCCGGAACAAAGGCUGAUUGUUCAGCAGAAAUUAUAUCUGGCAGUAUCUGUUUGAGUCUGUUGGAGAUUACCUUGGACGCUAUUUUAUAGAGCACGUUACAUAAACUUAUGGGCCGAAACUGGGCAAGGAGUGUGGGGUUUUUGACCUUGGGGAUGAGAACCAGCACCGUAUUGUUAAUGCAUGCUGCUGACUCUGUCCCGUCCACAAUUUUGAGUACCACUUUCGUUACAUCUGCACCGCAUACAUCCCAGUGGCGCUGAAAGAAGUGAGCGGGGAAUCCAUCCGGGCCAGGGGCUUUGAUUGGAAACAUUUGGAACAACACACUUUUCACUUCAUCGUGUGUGUAAGGAGCAUUCAGACGAUCGUUCAUUGCCUGCGUUACUUUAGUAGAUACUGACUCCAGUACCCUAUCCAUGCCCUGUACUCCCUCGGUUGUGUAUAAGUUUUUGUAAAAUUCGGUGGUAAGCUCCUCCAUCUCCUCCCUGUCCUCGGUCAGCUAUCCAUCCGAUCGCUGCAACAAUUUUAUCUGGUUCUUCCGGCGGCGGCGGCUCGCUCGCAGGUGAAAAGAAUAAGUGUUUUUGUCACCAUGGACCAGCCAAUCCAGUCGAGCGCGUUGGCGCCACAUCAAUUCCUCUCUAUCAAACAGUUCGACCAGUCUGUCAGCUAUCUUGGUUUCAGUGUUUGUCGGUCCCGUCCGUCCUGGCGCUGAACGCAUGACCUCAAGCUGGCGUUGGAGUUGGCGAAUCUCCAUACGCACCGAUCCGAAGUUGUUGCGGUCCCACGCUGACAAAUCUCCCGCCAGGUUCCCUAGUUUUGCAUGUAUGCCCUCAACCGAUUCUCCAUCCUGCAGACUCCAGCUAUCACGCACAGUGUCAAACAGUGUUUCGUCCCUUUCCCACAUCGUCUCAUAUUUAAAAGCCUUGUGGCCCAUUUUGCAUGCAUGCAACUCACGUAGCUGAAGAAGAAUAGGAAUGUGAUCUGAACUAGCAGCACUUUUGUGCGAUAGCUGUGAUGAUGCGAGGGCGAGAGUCCAUUCUGUAUUUACCAGGCACCUGUCCAGCCUAACCUGGGUGUAGGUGCCUCCUGUGACCCUUUUUUCAAAUGUCCAACUAGUGCCAGAGUAUCCAAUAUCUGAUAACCCACAUGUAUCAACUGCUUCCCUGAAUGCUUCUAUUUGGGCUUGGCUUCGUUGUCCCACACCAUCAUGUUCAUGGCUGUGAAGAACCUCAUUAAAAUCUUCCAUGACUGCCCACGGUCUGUUCUGCGUCUCAGCAAUACCGCGCAGGGUGUCCCAUGUUUUGUAUCUCUCUGGUACCUGGGCUUCGCCAUAGACAAAGGUAAUUCUUACCUGCAAAUCAACUAAGUCAUCAACAAGAAUAUCAAUGUGAUACUUUGAGUAAUCGAUAACUUCCACUUUUAUUUCAUCGUUCCAAAAAAUUCCAAGUCCACCACUUCUACCGGAACUACUAACUGCAAAGCUUUUAUUGUAGCCUAUGCUAUCAGCCAUACUCUCAACCCUCUUUCCCUCUAUUUGAGUUUCAAGAAUACAAACAAUAGAGGGGGCAAACUGCCUCGCUAGAUCGUGAAGCUCUCUAACUGUCGCGGCUUUGCCAAUCCCGCGAAAGUUCCAGCAAAGAAGACUCAUUGCGCUAGGCGCGGCCCCGCUUCGGAGCCCGCCACAUGCGCAUCAGGGUUUUUGGUAGAAACUGUGCUCUUCUCCAGAGCUGACUCAUUAGACGAGGUUGACUUCAAUCUUUUCAGAUCCUGCUUGGGAGGAGGGCUAAGGGGCACCGCAGGUGAUGGCAGAAACAGUUGCUUCGUCUGUUGUACCGAAUAGGUUGGGAACGUGGUUUUUGGAUCAUGUGCCCCUCUCUUCCUGUUGCGAUCAACCUCAGUCAUUGCUACAUCUCCGUCUCGCUGAUCACGUUCCUGGUGAUGUUGAUCAUCAAACGAGUCUGCACUAUUGGGCGAUCGUCCUCUUCCUCUUCCCCCACGGCCUCUGCCGCGACCUCUCCCUGCAUUGCUGCUCUCGCCUUGAUAUCUUUGAAGACCAGAGUCUUUGGGGCAUGAACCCCGUCCCCGCACUCUUUGUGUUGGUGACCUAGAUGUCCACAAACUGCACACCAGUCCGGCAGUCUUUCAUAUUUGACUCUAAAGAUGACUCGUUCCACCGAAUCCUUUUUCCUUAUUACCAGUGAAACAACGUUCUUCAAAGGUUUAGUGACAUCGAUCCUGACUCAAACUCUAGCAAAGUUACCUUCAAAAUCCGGGGAUCUAGGCUCUGCAUAUAUGAAUUCUCCCAUAGUAGCAGACAUAGCUUUGACCUUAGAAAAGAAGCCAUCGGGCAGGUCGUGAAUCUGGAUCCAAAUUUCCAAUUUGUUGAGCUCUAUAGACGACGGCUUUGUGAAGCCAUCAUACUCUGCCAGAACUACUGCUUUCCCCUUGAAAUUCCAGGGGCCAUCUCCCAUAACCCUCUCCCAGUCACCCAGGCACGAGAAUUGCAUUGAGUACAGAUUAUCUUCCAGUGGUCUGAUCUUUACCUCUUGAGCUAGGUCCCAGGCCACUCUCAUAUUCCUAUAAAACCAAUAUUGGCUGUAUGUUUUCUCCGUGUGAACCCUAGCCAACGCCAUCCAGCGUGUUUCUUCCUUCGGCAGCUCGGUGUCUUCCACCACAACAUCAAUCAGAUCAUCUUCUUUCAGUCCAAGUUCCUCCAUCAUCGCAGCCAGAUUGGACGCAGUUGUACUUGAUCCAGAUGCAGUCGAACUCAUCAUGCGCUCGCUCGAGGUUAGGGUUCCGCGAGCGGUAGGUCCCAAGGAGUCACCACCCGCCCAGAACGCCGCGGCGGCCGAAGGCCACAGCGAUCGCCGGAAGGGGGUUAACAUCCGGGGAGGAAAAGUCCCUACGGUGUCGGCGUCGCCGUCGCUCGAGGGAAGAGAAAAACCCUAACGAGAGGGGAAACUUAGGAGGGAGAUUAGUGUUAUCGGUACCUGCCGCCCACACUACUUUAGAUAGCUAAUUGUAACUGGGCUGGCCCAUAUGUGUGAGCCCUCCUCCAUUACCGGUUGUGAAGGAAUUUCCUAUUCAACGCUUAUACCAUUUGUUAUAGUGUUUUCCUUUUGUUACAGUGUUAUCCGGGGACCUCCUACUUGGUCACCUGCGCGCAAAGUAGGAGGGAACGUGCACCCUUGGCUCCCAUGUAAGAGUUUUUCCCGCCCUAUUUUUAUUAUUUCAUUUUUAUGCCUUUUGUUUUUUCAUUUCUGUUUGUGUUUUUCUUCUUUAAAUAAUGUGUGGUUAAAAAAAUUCCCAAUUUCAAAACAAUACCAAAAUUGUUUGACAAAUCAGGAAAUAUUUGUGAAUUAAAAAUUGUUGAUGACUCUUCACUUCAGUGUCUCGACCCACCGGAACAAAAGCCGUGUGUACAAAUUGUGUUCGAAGCUUAUCGUAAACUGGCUUAGCAAGUGUAGUCUUGCCAAGUCUGCCUGGUCCAACAAUUGAGACCAUCUUCAUCUUGUGCUGCUGUUGCUUGAGACCAUGUGUGAGCCUCUUGGUUAGCUUGUUCCAUGCAUCUUCAAUGCCAACGAGCUCUUUCUGAUCAUUGUACAAAGCCAAUACACGAGGGUCAACCUUCUGUUUGCUAGCUGGAUUAGGAACAUCAUUGACCCUGUAUCUGGCACGCCGGCCAGCCAUCUCUUGAGAGCGGUUCUUGAUGUACCUGAUUGCAUCUCCGAUCUGAUGGCGAGUCUUGCCUUUUGUGAACAAGUUGGCCAUCUUCCCUACCUAUCAUUUGAUCAUGUUUGAGUUGGGGACGGCAUCAGAUUCAUAUCCCUCGACGGACACUAGGAAGUUAUCGAUGACAUCCUCCAUGUCAUACGACAGCUCCCUUUUAGGGAUUCAUGUCCCUUGGAAUCUCCGCCACCUUUACGAGGGCAGCGUUCAAGCUCUUCAUGUCCCUCUGGAGGGACUCGACGUACCGAAUAAAUGGGAGUUAGAGGACAGGAAUCUGUUGUAGGAAAGACAAAGGAAAUUGUUCUCCAUCGCCGUCCGGUUCCACUGGGAAAAAAUUACAUCCACUGCAACACCAAGACCGCAUGCUUACCGAGUAGUAGUAGAAGCAGCAGAGCUGAGUAAGGCACCCACUACCGAAUGCAGGGAUAAAUCCAGCACCAAGUAAGCAGCUCACAAGUGAGAGACGGCAUGCGCUUUGCGAACGGAAGGACAGGAGCAGAAAACAUUUUGGGAGAAAGAUCGACGUGGCUCAGAAAAUUGAAGGCGGUCUACUCCUCCUGAUUGAAGCCGGCGACUACACAAGCGCCAUGGUUUGAUGGAGCAAGAGAAAUGGUGUUGAACCCCCAACUCGUUCCAUUUCUAGCAGAAAAGUAGGGCAAUAAUUGAGUGGUGGUAUGUUAUUAGUGCUGGUAAUGGAGUAGGAAGCACCCUAGAAGUGCACCAACUAGUACAUCAAAAUACUCCUGCCAGUGGCGGUGGUAGAUCAUUCAUGUGUACUACUCGAUCGUAACAAGAACAAUUACAUGAACCAGCUUGUGCCACUAGUAAUAAUAUUUAGCUUAUUUUUACAUUAAGUUUUGCAAUGAAUAAUAUUUAGGUUAUUAAAAAGACUAUAGUUUAAUGGAUGGCCCAGAUUUGGAAAUAUUACUGCAGAUUUUUGGUAGUAAUAGACUUGCUUCACUUGUCGAUUUAUAUGAUCUGUCGCUUUCAGCGACGUUUGGGGCUGUGAUUUGGGUUUGUUGUCAUUGAAAUUGCACAACUAUAGAAACUGGAUUCUUUUUUAUUAUUAUAGUGAGCACAAGGAAUCAUGUUACUAGUUGAAUUCAUAGAAAAAGACUCCAUUCAGACUCUGUCCUGCUCCAUGAAAAUAUCCUAUCAGAUAGACGCAGAGCGGUACAUAUACAGACUCAGGUUUCUUGAAAUCUAAUGCAACCAAGUCUUGUACAAUGGUCACAUGUUAUGUGACCUGAACCAAUUAUGGGUUUGCACUUGAUAAUUCCCGCACGAACCACAUGUAAACAUGGUUCGAAGGCUUGAAUAACAAUGUAAAAUUGAUGUCAAGUUUUCCCGACUUGAUUCCUGUCUAGGUUGGAGUCAUCAGUCUACUUGAAGCACUCGUUUUUCUCAUCUACGUUGGAGGACUGAUUGGAGCAUGAAUUAGUUGAGGAGAUAGAAACCCAUUUUUGGCGAGGGAGAGGACAGAAACCCAUGACACAACAAGGUUUUCAUGAUCAUCAUUGGCUAACUUCAAAGUUCCAACAGAGUGCCAACUACCAAGUGAGUAGCAGUACAAGGCACUGUUCAGCUGAAUCAAUCUUUACAACAUUAACCUAUCAUUCACUGGCGUUUCAUACCCAGAAUUGACUCUUAUAACAGUACAGAAGCAAACCCCUACUUCGAGUCAGUGUUGCUCUGUACUUUUUUUAACGGAGGUUAUAACUACGGCCUCUUUAUUUAUUAUUCAGCGGCCAUCUUUAUUUAUUAUUCCACCAAAGUCUAACAAAAACAUACAUCAAGCUACUCGAAGACAUCACUCACACCUACAAAACUCGAAAAUGUAGAGUGCUCUCACACUCCUCAUAUCUAAACCGGUAUCGUCGCUGAUCCAUCCACAUAACGUGUCGGAACGAACAGCCAGUGCAGCAGACCUAAAGCGCACACCACAUGCACAUGUUUUAGACGCCGCCAUCAUCUGCAGACCGCUGACCCAUCUUCAGGAGAGAGAUCCACAUCAUCCUUGCCAGUCCGUCCAUCCAGUCCCUCCCUCCUCUCGGCCUCCCUAUUAUCCCUCCUCACCCUCUGCUGCUGAUCUGUGGCGGCCUCUCCAAUAGCUCUGUGGCCUUCUUUCGCUGCCGCACCGGCCCGAGCGUUGUCGCUUGCAAGCCGUCCGGAGGCCACAAUGGCGCUCUCCCGUCGGGACUUUGCCACAUUCCAGCAUAUCAGUUGCUCUGUCAUGGGGAUCUGUCCUGCUCCUAGCCGUGUCUCCCGCGAUGGUGGUAGACCUGACUUGUACUACAAUGUUCUUUGGUCGCACGGCUGGCCACGGCGGUUUGCUCCGUUCCUUUGUAUCUAUGUUGCAGCUUCAAUUGUGUUAUGCAUGUCAUGGAUGUAUUAUAAUUCUGGGAUGCAUGUAAUUGUAUUGCUAUGAAUCUUAAAAUUGCUAGGUGUUCCAUGAACCAAUGAAUAUGCUAGAAAAUAUUACUCUGUCAUAUAUAUGUUAGAAAAUGUUCUCGUCGGGCCGGGUUUCUCUGCCCUAGAGAACAUAUUCUACAUGUUAUAUGCGACAAUGUAGUGAUGAAUAUUUCACCGGAAAUAGUGUAAAUGCAACCAACUCCCCCAUUAGGAGACAGAGUGGAAUAUUGUUUGACGAUAGACUUGGUUUAUGCAUAUUCGACGCACGUUUGAAUUUUUUCUCCCGAGCCACAAGAAAGCUCCUCGCGCGACCGCGUCCGUCCCUCAUGGGCGGCCGGCCGCGCUGUCCAUCCCUCCUUCCCAGCGCUCUCCCCCACCCUCUCUCUCCCCACCGUUGCCGGGGUGCAUCCCCGGGCUCGGCUCGGGCGGCGCCGGCGGUGCGGCCCACGGCUUUCCCCCCUGCGGCAGAUCCUGUGCGGGGCGGCGCUGCUUAAGGAGGUGCUCUCAGGUGGCGAUGGUUCGGCGCUGCGGUGGGCUGGUUCGCCGCUGACUUCGGUGGUCAGAGGCGGAGGAGCUCCGCGGCGGCGCGGGCUGGUGGCGCCCGUUCGGCCCAGAUCUGGGCCGAGGCGGGCCGGCAGCUCCGAUUUGUGGUGUAUCUUCCUGGAAGCGGCGGUGGGGUGUCUGGAUCCUGGGUGGUGGCGGCAUCGUUGCCGGAUUGUGCAGCGUGGCGGUGGAGUCUUUGCGGGAUCGAUCUGAGCCCGGCUAGGCCCGGGUGGCCUGGUUUGCCUCCCGCCUCGGCGUCCGGCUGGCUACCGCGAUGGCGUUGGAGGAACUGGCCUCUGGCGCGGCGUCGGUGGAGGUUGUCCCCUCCCGCUUGGCUGCGGUGCUGCCACCCCCGGCUCCAUGCGUUCUCAUUUUCCGUCCUCUAGGCCUCGCGGUGGUGGCCUUAGUGAGACGGCGUGGGUGGCCUCAAGACCGCGGUGGCGAAGGAGGGUGGGUGGCGUGUUGGGUGGAAGACUCCGGAGCGAUUGGGUAGUGUGCACAAGUGUUAGAAUCCUAAAAGGUAAAUAGUUUCUUAAGAUCUGAAGCAAGUGUUGGAAGAUUCUGCUGCCUCUAGAUACACAACAAAUGUCCACAUGUUGCUUCUUGGAGAAGCCGAGAGAGCCUUGAGCGGAGUGUUUAACCUUAUGUAUGAUAUUCUUAACUACCAUUUGUAUUAAAUGAACCAAUAAACAUUUUAUGUUAAUUGUCUUGACAAAUUUUGCUGUGUGCAGACUUACAUAUUAGUGGCACUACACAAAAAAAGAUGGCUAAGGGGUUUAUGAAGUAGGAUAGAGAUUGGUGAGAAAAUAUGUGCCCUCUCUCUCGUUUGUAAAGAGGUUCAAAUGUUAUGUGUGUAGCUUUUGCUAGUAUUCUCGAAUCGUUGGCCGUGAAUUGUCAAUUGUGUAAAUGUACAUGUGAAUUGUCUUAUGAAAAACAAUGUGCAACUGAGUGAUUAUGCCUGUGUAUUGUGUUCAUGUCUUUCUGUAAAUUUCGUUUGCAUUGCUGGUAACAUACUGAAAUGAAGUGCAUGCAUGCAAUGGUGAAAUGAAUCGGUACGAUCGACUGGCUGGCGGUCCAAACUAGUACACUAUCACUGACCGGUUAGAUUGCGGGUCUAUGAUGAGCAAGUCAUCACAAACCCUGAUCCACUGACAGACCAGCAACUAGUUAGUGAUGAUGAAAUUUGGCCGGUAAGUGUUAUUCGGAUUUGUAGUANNNNNNNNNNNNNNNNNNNNNNNNNNNNNNNNNNNNNNNNNNNNNNNNNNNNNNNNNNNNNNNNNNNNNNNNNNNNNNNNNNNNNNNNNNNNNNNNNNNNNNNNNNNNNNNNNNNNNNNNNNNNNNNNNNNNNNNNNNNNNNNNNNNNNNNNNNNNNNNNNNNNNNNNNNNNNNNNNNNNNNNNNNNNNNNNNNNNNNNNNNNNNNNNNNNNNNNNNNNNNNNNNNNNNNNNNNNNNNNNNNNNNNNNNNNNNNNNNNNNNNNNNNNNNNNNNNNNNNNNNNNNNNNNNNNNNNNNNNNNNNNNNNNNNNNNNNNNNNNNNCUCGGGUUUCUGCCCCUUUAUGAUAUAUGAGAAAACUGAACGAUUCAGGUGAAACUAGUCAUGAUAAUAAUUAGCAAUUCUAGUAUUUUAACACACAUAUCCCAAUCACUAUAGUUUUUUCAAACGACUAUUUUAACAACGCAUCUACGAUUCAUAGUAAAAUGUGACAUUGUAUACUGUAAAAUUUCUACAAUCUACAAGGUCAAAUUUAUUGUAAAUGUGACCACAACACCAGAUACACUAGAAAUAAAGUAAAACCCUAAAAGUCCCAUGCUAGCUAGACUACUCUUGGUUGGCUAGAAAUUAGGAGGGAGUACCCAGAUGCCAGUUUGAGCACGAGCUGCUACAUAAGAUCCCGCUGAUUUGAUCCUCUGUGUGACAUUGUCGCUACUUUCAUCUUGCAUAGGAUAUACACGGUUACCAUUGCCAUCAAAACUUGCCAAGUAUGUCAUAUCAUCAGCGUAGAUGUGGUUUCUCUGCACCCUGUCGCGCCCAACCACCGGCACGUCAACCGCCCUGGACAUUUUCCCCAAAAAUAAGGCGGAGUCACCCAAGGUCCUUACUUCCUCCCACUUACGAGCAUACUUUGUCAUCGAGUCAUCAUCCAACACAUAAACCUUGAAGAAAGGCUCAGGGCCGGUGUGGUAUGAUGGGAAUUUCCCCAGUACCAUCGCUAGCUUCCCUUGCAGCUCAACAAUGUGAGUCGACCAUGUGAAAGGUUCACUAACAAUCUUGAUAUGCAACUCGGCGUCAAUGGCGAGCAGAGGCCUGCCAUAUUUGUUCGCGCCUAUGUUGAAUUUGAUCAGGUCAUUGGAGAAUAUUAUAUUAAUGUCAAUUUAAUAUUAUACUAUGUGUCGUCAAUUUAAAAGGCUCCUGCCGUCAUGCCUUUGAGUAUUAUAUUAAUGUCAAAUUGUUUAAAUGCUAGUAAUUAGUUAACUUAGAAGCAAACUGUUUAUUGAUAAAAUGCUAUAGUAUAAUUAAGGGAGUUUUUUUUUUGAAAAAUAAUAAUGUUAGAUAUAUGCUGAUGCAACAAGGGCAUGAUUUUAUUUGUUAGCAAUACUAAUAAAAAAGUUCAUAGAAAAUAAUUUUAUACUCCCGAGGGUUAUACACAUAGUUUAAUUUGUUAAUUGUUAAAAAGUUAGCUAUACAACUAGCUAUAUAUUUGUAAAUACUAAUUAGUAGUGUAAAAAAGCAGGAACGAGCACCCGCCUAUGAUACCUUGAUUUACCAACACAAAACGUGCAUCUUGUGUGUAUGAUUGUGAAAUGCACGUUGUGUGUGGAGUUUGACAUCUAAUUUUUAACCCGCUGUUGGUCUUUCAUAUAGAGGAAUGUCUCGCUGUGCUUCCACGAGUCCCUGUAGUUCGCUACGGCUCAGAAACACAGUGUUCGGACGUCAGAUACACUAAAGUUGCACUAUGACAACCAUUGUACAAUCCAGCCCGCCUCAGUUAUAUUAAUAAAAAUAUCGAUCCGAGAACUUUAUCAUGUAUCUGGUUGCGACAGACGCAUAUACGUUCGAGAAAAAGGAGAUAAAUGGUCCUGCGAAGGUAAGGUGGCAGCUAUCGGUGUUCUAGUACACAAGACAACCGAACGCUACACACAGUACUACAAGUCAGUAAUAAAUAGAGUCUGGCGACUACUAGGCUGGCAUGACAGUGCUGUCGAGCGACUCGCCGAUGUGUAUGGCAAUGUGGAAAAUGCAUCCCAUUACUUCUCAUCUCCGCUCCUCUUUGCUCGGUUUGUCCAAGAAGCGGAACACACCACUCAUGUCGGCCUACAUGGCAUAACAUGCUCGUGGAGAAACUAUGNNNNNNNNNNNNNNNNNNNNNNNNNNNNNNNNNNNNNNNNNNNNNNNNNNNNNNNNNNNNNNNNNNNNNNNNNNNNNNNNNNNNNNNNNNNNNNNNNNNNNNNNNNNNNNNNNNNNNNNNNNNNNNNNNNNNNNNNNNNNNNNNNNNNNNNNNNNNNNNNNNNNNNNNNNNNNNNNNNNNNNNNNNNNNNNNNNNNNNNNNNNNNNNNNNNNNNNNNNNNNNNNNNNNNNNNNNNNNNNNNNNNNNNNNNNNNNNNNAAGACGAUGAAAAUUGAGUAAACACAAAAGUAAAGUAGCCGGUCUCAUUAUCAUUAGAAGACGAUGGCAACUACUGCAUGCACCCAUACAUUCUUGGAUCGCUAUAUUUGGCUUAUUCGGUCACAAACCGACGACUUUGCAGCUGCUACAUAAACAACGCUACUCUGGAUCUUAGGGAAAAAUGUUUGGAGACGGAUAUUGAUAAAGGAAACCGAGGAGAGUUGGUGAUGUGAGUCUACUCCAUCGUGCAUGCUACCUACAUGGACAAGCACAUCCGACCUGGCACAGCCUCGAGUUUCAUUAUCCCCUCUUGAUCCCUCUGAUGUUUCCUCUUUCUCUUCAUCAUCAUCUUCACAUCCCUCAAUGUGCACGUUUUUGUGCCUCGAUUUGAUUGGUUCAACUACUUGCUGGCUAUCCUCAGAGUGGUCAAUUUUUUUGGUGUUCGCGAGGAGUCACCAGUACAAGCAUGGUACUGAUAUGUCAUACAUGACCGUGGCAUUUGUACUUGUAGUUUCCUUUCAUUUUUCAUUUUCCUUUUUAAACGCAUACUGUACUUUCUUUACUACACGAUAAUUAAUAUACACUGCACAUUUUUGUAGUAUACGUCAAACAAAUUUUUUAAUUGUAUGAAAACAUAUUUUAUAUUCACACUAUUUUAAAAAAAUAUAGUGAAUAUUUCUAAAUACAUCUAUAAUUUUUUAAUACACAAUGGACAAUUUUUUCAUGUACACAUAACACUUUUUAGUAUAUGAGGAACAUUUGAAAUAUACGGCGAACAUUUUCUAUAUACCCACUAAUAUUUUUAUAAAUGCUGAACAUUUUAAAAGUACACGUUCAUUUUUGUGUUUUCACAAACCAUAGAAAACCAAGAAACUGAAGUAAAAUGAAUAAACGAAAAAAAACAGUACCGGACAGCUCCGUCGCUGCAAAAAUAGGUCUGCACGUCUUAGUGGGCCUACCCAUUCAGAGUCACCUAUGCGUAUCCUCAACUUUUUCGACAACGGGUGCCUUUUAUUUACUUAUAAUGUUGCAUCGAGGGAUACAAUCAUAACAAGCACACACCCAAACUAUGUAUAACUAGCAUACACACUGCGAACACACAUAAAAAAUCACACUGGCAAAUAACAAAGUCAAAUAAGACAAGAACUAUGGCUAGACACAUACAGAAAACGAAGGAAAGAAGAAGAAAUCCCGAGGCGACCAAAAGAGCAUACGUGAGUGAUCAUAUGUGCCAACCAUCUGAACUACUGCGUCAACUAGGAGGUCUCGCUUCUAAGGCCAUCAAUAAUAUUAACGAUGGUUCCAUAUAAAAAAAGAAUAUUAACGGUGGUAGCAGGUGCGAGAUCUUAAAUUAUCAUUUUUUAAGGCCGCUCCAUCGUUUUUGUUCUGCACAAGUGGCUCCCCUAGCCGUAACCCCACCCACUGGUUAUGUAGUUCUUUAAGAGAAAAUCGAUGACACAUGCAAGCAACAAUUUUGUAUCUUCUGUCAUUUGUUUAUACUAUGCCAUCACGAGGAGAUUGCACUUAAAAAGACAAAUUGCAUAUAGGAUAGUUAAAAAAGGGUUGUUUUCUGUCGUGGAAAGGUUGAUUCUAGUAUGAGUAUUCUCUUGGUAUCCGUUCCUUCAUGGAGAAGAGAAGGUGAUUUUCUCUCGCCGCCCCGUCAAUUGAAAUUAUACAUGUUCAAUGAUGACAUGAAGGUUAAUUUCACACCACUCAUUCAUUGUGCUUGCCUUGAGUUCCCUUCAAGGAUAUACCGUGGCAUUCCCGCCUCAAAGAGCUUUUUCAAACCCCUUUCUCAAGAUGCACAACUCAGUCAUUGUUAUCUUGUGUAGACGGGUUCAUCCAACAGGGUAUAAGAUAACACGAUGGACUGAACUGAAGAGAAAAGAAAAAAAAAAUCAUCUACUAAGCCUUAAGCAUUAAACAAGCUUGGAGUGUUGGUCAGCGUGCGACAUCAUUCAAGAAUUUUGUGGACCUACGCUGACCCAAUGAACUUGUGCCCUAUCCCUUGAAGAAAUAUCUCAUCAAUUAUGAAUAAAAAUGUUUGAAGCAUAGAAGUACUCAUGUUUUGACAACAAUACGACCCAUUGUCAUAAACUCAUAAUAUCCCCAAUUUUUACUCAUGAAAAUCAUGUUUGCAUCCCUUUUUGACUCGUUACAUUGCAAUUGUGUCCCAAUUAGAUAACAAUAACACUAAUGAUUGAGCUUGCCAUUGGUAUUCAGUUAUGUGUACACACACAUCACCUUAUGGGUAUUUCACACGAGAAGAAAAUUAGAGGCGAUUUAUUUGCAACUAACAGGCGCUUGCCGCCUCCCAUUGGCUCGCUGCUUGCCAACAAGCAUUCGAUUCCAUUCAACUGAAUUUAAGAAAAAUGGUCAGCAUGUUGGCGCUGUACUGUGUUGGGUUCGUUGAUUGCAUCCAUAUAUAUAAGCAGUCCAUUCCAUUCAACUCAAUUCAUCAACUGCAUCCAUAAUAAAUAUCAAAAAUUCCCCAUGGCACACAACGUGAUUUGCUUGCUUCUUGAUCGGAUUAUCAAACACCGGAGGGGUGUCUUCCUGUGUGAGGGUGGCCGAAACAAACUCGGCAAUUGCAGACGCUCUGAACUCGCCAUCUGCAAUACACACAGUACAUUGUUAGCCAAUUUAACAGUCAAACCAACUCGGUACAUAGAAAUGGAAAGGAGAAGCUAAAACAAGUUUACCAUAUACUGUUAACUUCGCCUCUUUUUUCUUGAGCAGGACUAGUGAUGGGCGCUUUGCUUGCGGGUCAACAUGGAAAAGCUUGGCUAUAUCAGGACUGGUAGUCUGGUAGAUGUUGACAGCCCGGUACAAGCUGUUGAAAUCUUCCAGCCUUGAGGCAGCAGCAAGCUCUUCGGUGUGAGCACCCUAUAGCAUUUGUUGAUAAGAGUAAUCAAUUUUGGGCCACAUGUGCGGUGCAAUUGCAGCAAUUCGGUUGGAUGGUAGACUUUGCUGGGAUUGGAACGUACCGAAAGGGAGUCGAGGAAAGCUAGCACGGCUACUUUGCCGCCGGUGAUGAUCUUCUCGGCCUCGUCGAUGGUGGUGACGUUCUGCACCUCAGGGCCCAGCCUCUGGGAUAUCCAAGUGACCAUGGCGUCCCUGCAGCAGUGGAAAAUUCGCCACCAUGAGGGAUGAAAUAUAAGACCGUUUAGAUCACCAAAGUAAUCUAAACCACGAACAAAAAAUAAGAACAAAAAAUUUGAAUGGAACAUUUCCUGAAAUUCACAAACAUUUCUUAAAAACAUGAAUCUUUCUAAACCACGAACAUUUUUUAAGUUGUCAACAAGAACAUGUUUUGAAGAUUCAGAAGAGUUGUAGUAAUUUUUUUCUUUAAUGCAAACAUUAUUUUCAAUUUUUGAACAUAUUGUGAAAACAACAAUAUUUUUAGAAUUUGGAAUAUUUUCAAAAUGCAUUUUUCUAAAUAUUGUUUUUUAAAUACAGUUAUUUUUUAACAAAUGGCAAUAUUUUUUAAAUUUUGAAAUACAUUUGGCAGAACUAAAAAAAUUCCAAACAUUUUUAGAAUAGGAACACAUUUAUGUAAUUCGUAUAUUUUUAUGAAUUCUUGAAUAAAAAUGAAAUUGCGAUAUUUUCCGAAAAUUUUGAAUUUCAGAAAAUACGUAGAAAAUAGACUUAGAAUGUGAAAAGUAAAAAAUAAAUACGAAACAAAAAGAGAACUAAGCAGAAAAAUAAAAAUGGAAACCGAACACAAGCAUAAAUCGGCCGCUGAGUUUUGGGCGCCUUGUGCGUACCUGAAACUAUUUACCGCCUUGUGCGGGAAAUAGGAUUUUUUGUUGCUACAUGGGCAGGAAAAAAUGGGCUGAAUUUACGGGGCCAUAGUGCGCGCGGCCCAUGUACGAAAUUUUGCACAAAUUGUUUUUCCUUUGCUAAUAGACGAACAUAGAAAGUUUAGUACCACCUCGGAAAGAAAAACAAUAAUUUUUUGGCGGUGAACGGAUAAAAAAAUCGGAGAAACGCACCUUGCUUUAUUAGUAGGUAUAUAUAGAUAUUGAUAUAGAUAUAGAUUGCUCAAGGUGAAAAGCUAAGGCUAUCCUCUUAAGAAAAAAAACGAAGUUAUCUUCCUCGAAAGAAAAACAAAACUAUGUUAUAUAUCCUCCUCUCAAUCAACAAAAUCACCUCUCCUCGAGCAAGCCAACUCUGACUGCACCAUGGGUAAACGUCAAGAUCCCUCCGAACGAUACACGAGAACCGUCUCGGCCACUGCCAAACAAUUGGCCACAAGCUUCGACAACAUAGCAGCUUGGAUUUUGCCGAUGAACUUUGCUGGGGAAAAUUGUAAGCCUCGCACCGAUCUAGUCCAGCGCAAUCUCUGGAGAGCAGCGUCCACUGAAACCAUCUUCAUGGAGUCAUCGUUUCCGCAGGCGCCCCUCCACACACAGCUUCAUCUUCUUUGUUACAACAAGAAACAAGCAUAGGCACACCCAUUGGCACACCCGACUGUCAAAUUCAGAAGGGCCAACCACGACCUAGCUCCGCUCGCCACCAUUGUCGUCGCCACGAGUGCCAACACCAACUACUCGCAUCAUCAGCUGUGCACCAUCCAACCGUGAGAAUGUGCAUAUCCAACCCAGGAAAAGUGUGGAGGGGAACAAAUCUUCAAGACGGCGCCCUAAGUGGGGAGCGAUGCAGAAAUAACAAUGUUGUCCGACCCUGCAACAGGGACCUUAGGCUUUUACUGAAGACAUCCCAAGGGUGACCAAGAUGGAAGAGCUGCACGGCGACCCUCCAAGAAGGAAUAACGACACUAGCAACCGCCACAUCAUCAUUGAUGGCAUAAUCCAGGCAAGCCUUUGCCCCGGAGGAACAAACGUGCACAUACACCCCCACUAGACAAAAUACUGCCUUACCUAUAGACAAAUCAGUUCUUUUUUGGGCGAGAUAAGCCCAAAGUAAUCUGUGCAAAUAUUCUCUGUAAAUUCAAAAUCUAUGUGUAUUAUAUGUAGUUAAUCAACAUUUUACCGCCCAAAUUAGAAUCCUAGCCACUUUAUACCUCGAACUUUCAUUAAAUGUGUCUAGACUUACGUAUUGAGUGCACCAUGCAUGCUGCCAAGCCAACCCGCGUUGAAUCGCGCCAUAAAUUUCCUUAAGUUUAAAUUUCCGCUAGGAUUUACCUUGUAAAUAAGUUUCCACCGUUCUUACUAGCACAAAUUUAAAGCUUUGGGGUAAAUCCUUUCUGCAUAAUCCCUGUAAAAAAUGAUAAAAGUAAAGGUACAAAGUAGAAAUUUUAAUAUAUAUCAUCACACAAUCAUAGUACAACCAGCACACACAUACAAUUAUCAUCCAUACAAGCCAGAAAAGUAAGUCAGAACAAUCACAAGAUUUACAUGGGCAUCAUACCCUAAUCUUGAUUGAUCUUGACAUUAUAUAGCACAGAAUGACUUGAUGGUGGUGGGUUACAACACACCACUUAUUUAAUCCAGCAGGCAAUAUAAGUCACGAGUAUACUAUAUCUGGCGCGGUUGAUGUACUCGAACAUCUCAUCCCAGCGGCUCCUCUUGGAUGUGUGCUUCCACAUUUUCCUUUUCCGCUUGUGUCCCAAGUGGUGGUUUUGGUUGUGCAUUCGGGUCCGGCAGUCCAGGCAGUGGUUGUGGGUUUGGGUCUGGUAAUGGUUGUGGGUUUGGAUCAGGCUGCGGUCCUGGUAAUGGCUGAGGGUUUGGGUUUGGUUGUGGGUCCGGCAAUGGUUUUGGGUUUGGGUCUGGUAAUGGUUGUGGGUUUGGAUCAGGCUGAGGUCCUGGUAAUGGUUGAGGGUUUGGGUUUGGCUGUGGGUUNNNNNNNNNNNNNNNNNNNNNNNNNNNNNNNNNNNNNNNNNNNNNNNNNNNNNNNNNNNNNNNNNNNNNNNNNNNNNNNNNNNNNNNNNNNNNNNNNNNNNNNNNNNNNNNNNNNNNNNNNNNNNNNNNNNNNNNNNNNNNNNNNNNNNNNNNNNNNNNNNNNNNNNNNNNNNNNNNNNNNNNNNNNNNNNNNNNNNNNNNNNNNNNNNNNNNNNNNNNNNNNNNNNNNNNNNNNNNNNNNNNNNNNNNNNNNNNNNNNNNNNNNNNNNNNNNNNNNNNNNNNNNNNNNNNNNNNNNNNNNNNNNNNNNNNNNNNNNNNNNNNNNNNNNNNNNNNNNNNNNNNNNNNNNNNNNNNNNNNNNGGCAAUGGUUUCGGGUUUGGGUCUGGAAAUGGUUGUGGGUUUGGAUCAGGCUGCGGUCCUGGUAAUGGCUGAGGGUUUGGGUUUGGUUGUGGGUCCGGCAAUGGUUUUGUGUUUGGGUCUGGUAAUGGUUGUGGAUUUGGAUCAGGCUGCGGUCCUGGUAAUGGACGAGGGUUUGGGUUUGGCCGUGGGUCUGGUAGUAGCUGCGGGUUUGGGUUUGGCCAUGGGUUCAUCAACCGUUGCAGGUUUUGGCCUGGCAAUGGUUGUGGAUUUGGGUCAGGGUGUGGUCCUGGUAAUGGUUGAGCAUUUGGAUCAGGUUGUGGCUCAGGCAGUGGUUGUGGGUUUGGAUUAGGUUUAGGAUCGGGUAGUGGUUGCGGGUUUGGGUCUGGUCGUGGUCCUGGCAGUGGUUGUGG